GCUCAGGACACUGCUGAUCAGGUACGCCAGCUGUGGACUAGGGUCGAGCGUGCGGAACAGGAGACGCGUGACGUCCUCCGGGAGUUUCACAUGAGGCAGGUAAGGUGGGAAUCUCGACUCCAGGAUGCAGAACGCCUGGUGGCUCGUCUUCAGGGAGCAUCCACAUCUUCGGCACCACCUCCUGACGCAGCUCAUCGCGGCUAGGAAUAGACUUAUCAUAGUAGGUUAUUAGGAACUAUAUUAUGUACUCCGGCUCUAUGUUUAAGUGACUACACUACUCAUGGAGCCGUUAUGCUGUCGGAAUAGUGUAUGCUCCUACGAGCAAAUUUUCUUGUGCUAAAUGCGGAUAAUAUUAAUAAACUUUUGGGUGUUUUGCUAAAUUAUUCUCAGUUGCUAUGUGUUGAGACAUUAUGAUUGCAUGCUUGAUGAUAGUAAUGUUUAGGUUCGCACCAUACACCUAGUUAGUAGAGUCGCCACCUCACAGAAACCACGUACACUCAACAUCUUUCCGUUUCAUGACAGAAAGAUGCCUCGCCCAGCUACUCGCGGAAAUCCCGAACCAACUCCGCCGGAAGUUGACUCCACUGCUUUCCAGGCAGCCGUGUCUGCUGCAGUCACAGCGGCUAUGGCACAACUUCACCGAGGGAACAACGGAGGAGGUAACGGGCAAGGAUCCGGAAGUUCGAACAACGGGACGAACCAAGGACUCACUAAAACGUGCACCUACAAGGAUUUUGCGAACGCUAAACCCCGAACUUUCAACGGUACCGGAGGAGUGAUCGCCCUAAAGCGAUGGAUCGAGAAGGUAGAGUCGGUAUUCGAGAUAUGCGAGUGCCCCGAGCAGAUGAAAGUGAAGUUCGCGGCCUGCACUUUUGUGGACCAAGCACUCACUUGGUGGAAUGGUCAUGUGGAAGCUAUGACACUCCCUGUCGCCAACUCUAUUCCCUGGGCAGAGAUGAAAGAGAUGUUGACGGCUGAGUACUGCCCCCGAGGCGAAAUACAGAAGAUGGAGCAGGAACUAUGGAAUCUCACGGUGCAGAAUGGGAACAUCGAUGCUUACAUAUCGAGAUUCAGCGAACUAUCUCUGUUGUGCCCGGGUAUGAUCACAUCAGAGGGGAAGAAGAUUGAACGAUUCAUUUGGGGACUGACAUCCCCCAUUCAAGGGAAUGUGAUAGCUGCGAACCCUGAAACUUUUGACAGUGCGAAGAGAUUGGCAAAGAGGCUAUAUGAUCAUAACCACAAAAAGGGCGAGAAACCGGUAGAGACUGAGAAGAAGAAGGAGAGUGAUGGUAAGAAAGGAUGGAACAACAAGAGGAAGGGGCGUCAGGGUCCCGAGACCUCUAAAAAGCAGCAAACGGUGGCAGUUCACGCUGUCACUGCGCCGGUNNNNNNNNNNNNNNNNNNNNNNNNNNNNNNNNNNNNNNNNNNNNNNNNNNNNNNNNNNNNNNNNNNNNNNNNNNNNNNNNNNNNNNNNNNNNNNNNNNNNNNNNNNNNNNNNNNNNNNNNNNNNNNNNNNNNNNNNNNNNNNNNNNNNNNNNNNNNNNNNNNNNNNNNNNNNNNNNNNNNNNNNNNNNNNNNNNNNNNNNNNNNNNNNNNNNNNNNNNNNNNNNNNNNNNNNNNNNNNNNNNNNNNNNNNNNNNNNNNNNNNNNNNNNNNNNNNNNNNNNNNNNNNNNNNNNNNNNNNNNNNNNNNNNNNNNNNNNNNNNNNNNNNNNNNNNNNNNNNNNNNNNNNNNNNNNNNNNNNNNNNNNNNNNNNNNNNNNNNNNNNNNNNNNNNNNNNNNNNNNNNNNNNNNNNNNNNNNNNNNNNNNNNNNNNNNNNNNNNNNNNNNNNNNNNNNNNNNNNNNNNNNNNNNNNNNNNNNNNNNNNNNNNNNNNNNNNNNNNNNNNNNNNNNNNNNNNNNNNNNNNNNNNNNNNNNNNNNNNNNNNNNNNNNNNNNNNNNNNNNNNNNNNNNNNNNNNNNNNNNNNNNNNNNNNNNNNNNNNNNNNNNNNNNNNNNNNNNNNNNNNNNNNNNNNNNNNNNNNNNNNNNNNNNNNNNNNNNNNNNNNNNNNNNNNNNNNNNNNNNNNNNNNNNNNNNNNNNNNNNNNNNNNNNNNNNNNNNNNNNNNNNNNNNNNNNNNNNNNNNNNNNNNNNNNNNNNNNNNNNNNNNNNNNNNNNNNNNNNNNNNNNNNNNNNNNNNNNNNNNNNNNNNNNNNNNNNNNNNNNNNNNNNNNNNNNNNNNNNNNNNNNNNNNNNNNNNNNNNNNNNNNNNNNNNNNNNNNNNNNNNNNNNNNNNNNNNNNNNNNNNNNNNNNNNNNNNNNNNNNNNNNNNNNNNNNNNNNNNNNNNNNNNNNNNNNNNNNNNNNNNNNNNNNNNNNNNNNNNNNNNNNNNNNNNNNNNNNNNNNNNNNNNNNNNNNNNNNNNNNNNNNNNNNNNNNNNNNNNNNNNNNNNNNNNNNNNNNNNNNNNNNNNNNNNNNNNNNNNNNNNNNNNNNNNNNNNNNNNNNNNNNNNNNNNNNNNNNNNNNNNNNNNNNNNNNNNNNNNNNNNNNNNNNNNNNNNNNNNNNNNNNNNNNNNNNNNNNNNNNNNNNNNNNNNNNNNNNNNNNNNNNNNNNNNNNNNNNNNNNNNNNNNNNNNNNNNNNNNNNNNNNNNNNNNNNNNNNNNNNNNNNNNNNNNNNNNNNNNNNNNNNNNNNNNNNNNNNNNNNNNNNNNNNNNNNNNNNNNNNNNNNNNNNNNNNNNNNNNNNNNNNNNNNNNNNNNNNNNNNNNNNNNNNNNNNNNNNNNNNNNNNNNNNNNNNNNNNNNNNNNNNNNNNNNNNNNNNNNNNNNNNNNNNNNNNNNNNNNNNNNNNNNNNNNNNNNNNNNNNNNNNNNNNNNNNNNNNNNNNNNNNNNNNNNNNNNNNNNNNNNNNNNNNNNNNNNNNNNNNNNNNNNNNNNNNNNNNNNNNNNNNNNNNNNNNNNNNNNNNNNNNNNNNNNNNNNNNNNNNNNNNNNNNNNNNNNUUUUUUGCGAGGCGGGUCUGGGACCCCUCGUACCUUUUUAUCCCCAACCGGCUAAUGGAGUCGUCGAGGCCUUCGUGUCCUCCUUCUCUUCGGAUGUGGGACAACAGGACGGUUGGAUAGCGUGACUAGUACGGACGACGCCUUCGGGAUCGUUGGUAUUGCUAUAGACUAGUCGUUUGUGUAACACGUGUCUGUGGCGGAUAGUCAUGCUCAUCAAUGAUCCAAUGUCGUCUGGAAUAACAACUUCAUGCGUUGCAAUGGUCUCAAGUAAUUUUCAUGGAAUUCAAAGAAUUAGGAAGACAUCGGGUCUUCCUAGGGUUUUCAAUACAUACAAAUUCGGAACACAUACGAUUUCAAUAAACAAUAUUUUACAAGUAUAGAAAACAAACAGGCAUACUUAUGGAUCAUCACACCUUUUUGACUAUACUAUUUUCAGAAAAUAUCGGAUUUUCUGGUGGUUUUCAAACGAUACAAAGCAUUGUUUUCAAAUACAACUUAUGAACUCACCAACAUUUCAUAUGUUGACGUUUUUCAAAAUACUUGUAUUCUCAGGGAACCAGUGAAUCAAGGGAAAUCAUAUUCAGUGACGGUUGCAGUUUAUUUUUGUAUGAAUUGAACAAAUUAAUUUUUGGGGGAAUGUAAUGUUUAAACAAUGUAUGAUAUGUAAACACUACUGGUUGUACUAUGUUGAUGAAUGGUGACGAAUGUUGUUAUGUUUCAUAUAUAUUCAAUGUUAUGGUAUUCAAUUGAGUCACGACAGCCCCCGGACGUUUCCGCCGUCUGGUUCGGGGGUGUGACAAAUACGGAGGAUAAAGGCACAGAUUGAGAAAAAAUACUUGGGCGAAGAAUAGUUUGUCGGUGUUUUUUUUUAGAACACUUUAUGCCACUGUCAACCCCUCCUUCACCGGUCCACACCACCACCUCCUUAUUCAACAGCUUCAUUGCUUUGAUUCUUCAACAAUCAACUUCGAACAAGAUUAAAUAAAAAGACUAUAAAAGAUGCAUGACAUUGGCACUUUGCUUCUUGAAACUCUUUGAUUCAGUAGCCUUCCCUUUAGGAACGGAUAAACAGUUGAGAUUUGGGAGCCUCCGAUUCAGCAGUCAUCGACAUUCUUAUUAAUAACGACAUCAAAUUUGCAUCAAUUUGAUUGAACCCACUAUGUUACUUUCAAGGUUCAUCUCCCAGUCUUCUUAGAAAAACUACAUUUUUUAUCUAUGUGGUGAUUGUAAUCUUUGUUUCUUGAAUUACUAUGAAUAUUUGUACAUUGAAUGUACUAUGAGCCUAUGAAUAUUUACUUUUAGUUAUGAAUCUGCGAUGAAUUAUUGUUUUUGGUCUUGAAUGUGUUAUGAAUAUUUGUUUCAUGAAAUGCUAUGAAUUUUGUUUCUUGAAAAUACUAUGUUUUUUUUAACUACUAUGUCCAUUUGAAUUUCCCUUGUAAACAUGAAUCUUUUGUGAACCUAUAUAAUAUGUAAUAUGCUUUGAAGCAUGCAUUUUUUCCCUCAUUAUUGCCGAUUUCAUUUAUCUCAUCAUUUGCAAUUUCAUUGAUCUUCGUCUCAAUAUCUCUCUAAACUUUGAAGAUCCUCUUGCUCUGUCAACAUCUCUAUCCGAUGUUUUGACCUCUACACUCACAUCAUCUCAUCCCCAAAUUCUUAACUAUUAAGUAUGUUUAAGUUAUUUAACCUAACUUUGUUGUCUAUAUUUGUAAAUCAUAAAUUACUUUUAUGAAAUUUUUUGGGAUAUAUUAUAUAUUUACGAAAAUGUGACAGAGUUCUUUUAUGGAAUAAGCAUCUCUAAUAAAUAAAAAAACUUUUUACCAUUUGUCACAUUUAUAUUGAUUUGAUCACAUAUCAUUUUGUGGUUGUUUUCAAUUAAAAAAAUUUCACAUGGCAGUUUGUGAUUGUUUCAUUUUUAUUAAAUGUAUCAAUUGCAAUAAAUAUAAUAAUAAAGAUAUUUUAAUUUCAUUAAUUGACUUUCCUGCUAAUUUUAAAUUUUCUUAAUCAAAACUCAUUAGUUUUCUUUGUUUAUUUAUUUAAAUUAUUUGUUUAAAUUUAAAAAAGAAAAACACUUUAAUUUUAAUAAUUCAAUAUUUUUUAUUUUUCUUAUAAAUUCAACUAUGUAAGACAUGAAUCUUACACCUAAUAAGUAUAAUAGAGACAAGUUGUGUGGAAUAUUAUAGGAGUGGUAUGAAAUUGUUCGUUUAUUGCGGUGAGGAAGCAGUGGAUAUAUAUAAUUAUAGUCUUAUAAACCGUUUUAUUUCAUUUUAAAAGCUUCUUAAUAUUAUUUUCUUAUAGUUUAGAGGAUUAAAGUUAAUUUUUACAUGUUCAUUUUUUUUUUCACUUGAAAUUAAAGUUAAUAUUUUUCCACAAUCUUUAUUCGAUCUGAAAGCAGCGAAAACAAAGCUUACACCGUAAAACAGAACGACCAGAAGAUAGAUUGAGAGGGAGAGAGGGAUAUCGAUUAAGAAGUCAGAUUGAAAGACAGAGAUCAACAAUAGAGAGUUGCGGGAGAGAUCCGAUUGAAAUAUGGGUUGUUGUUCAUCCGUAUUCCAUAUCCAAGCGAUACAAAUGGGUAAAAUUGGCGAUCUCAGGGCUUCGAUUCCGAACUCUUAAGUCGAUUUCCAAAAUUGUGUGGUGUAAUCUUGAUGAAACGAUGUGAAUGACUCAUUUUCUAUAAGAUUCAACCCCUGAAAUGCAGAUACACUUACAUGGGAUCACAAUGGCGUUAAAUUCAAGCUUUUUUGCUGUUUUGAAGCAUUUGAAUGAAGCAAAUCGAAUUAUUGCUGUUACGAUUGAUAGAAAUUAAUCAUUGAGUUGUUUUAUGGACCAAGAUUUUAAGGAAAUUAUGAAUUAGAAGGGAGAGUCUUCGUUUUAUUUCAUAGAAGCACGAAAGAAACCCAUAAAAGCUGUGACAUUUUUCCUGAAAUCACUUUCUUUUAUUCUGUGUUUUGACUGUUUUCAACCAUUGGGUUUUUUAAGGAUGGAGGUGGUUGAAGAAGGCGAAAGGUAAGGGACUAUGGUGAAGGUGGUGGUGGAAGGUUGACGGUGGUGGUGACUGGAGGUAGAUUAUAUUGGAGGUGGUGGUGGAAGAAGAUCAAUUAUGCAUUUCUGGCAGUCAUUGAUGACAAGGCUAAGGGGUAAUCGAUUACACCUUCAUUUUUAUGAAAAUGAUCAUUUUAACCCAAAAAAAUCUAGUUUAUGCCACUAAACUACAAAAAAGACAUAAGUGACAUUUUAAACCAAAACAUGAUAUAUGAUAGUUCAUAGGGCCUCAUUGACAUUUUCCUUUUAGAAAACAAACUCGAUGUAGUUGAAACCUGCUAUAAGUGACAUUAUGGUUCUUUAGGAAGGUUAUAUGAGGAAUUAACUUAAUAGAUUUAUACUAAAUGCUCAAAACAAUACAUAAUAUGCAUACAACCAUACAGCAUGUGUAGCAAAUAGCAAUAGCAAUAGCUCCUAAUCCUUAGUUAAUACAUGGGAUUGUUUUUAACUUCCACGAUUAUGUUUUUUCGAAAGAGAGCUUCCAAGAUUAUGUUUGUAUAUUUCACAAUGAAACUUGGGAUUAUUUGUAACUUCAAGAUAAAGAAAAGUAUAAUUCUCAAGUCCACUAAUUACCUCGUGUAACCUAUUUAUAUGUGUAUUAGCAAAAUUGCUUUGGAUAACUAAUUCAACCUUUGCUAUUUUUCUUGCAGGAUUUAUGUUACAAGCAUUCCAAAAAAGUGCACCCCCUUAUAAAAUGGCUUGCAACCCAUCGCAACAACCGAUAAAGUUUAAUGUUGAUGAUCUUCAUAGGGCUAUGGACUUGAAGGAUAACAUCCGUAACAUGUCUGUUGUUGGACAACUUGGACAUGGUAGUAUAACAUCUCAAGUCAUUUUUUGUUACACCUAUUUCAUUUUUGUUAACUUUAUUAAUUAUCAUUCAUCUUUUAAUGUUAACAUCAACAGGAAAAUCCACUUUGAUUGAUUCUCUUGCGACUGCUGCGGGCAUCAUCCCAUGUGAUGACGAUAUCCACAUGACCUACACCCGUGAGGACGAGGCACAACGUGGUAUGACCAUAAAGUCAUCCGGGAUUUCCCUCUACUAUAAAAUGACCGAUGUAGCCCUUGAAGCCUUCAAAGGAGAACGUAAUGGAAAUGAGUACCUCAUCAAUCUCAUUGACUCACCCGGGCACGUUGACUUUUCAUCCGAACUCACCGCUGCCCUCCGUAUCACCGACGGCGCUCUUGUCGUUGUCGACUGUAUCGAUGGCGUUUGCAUCCAAACAAGAAACGCGCUUCGCCUCGCACUCGGUGAGAGAAUCCCACCUGUAUUGGCCCUCAACAAAAUGGAUCGUUGUUUCCUUGAACUCCAAGUUGGUGGUGAAGAAGCCUAUCAAACUUUCCUAAAUGUCAUUGAAGAGUUUAAUGAGUACAUGAAGCCCUUUGAGGACAAGGUUUUAGGUGAUGUCAAGGUGUGCCCAACGAAAGGUAAUGUCGUGUUUUCAUCUGGGCUCUACGGAUGGGGAUUUACAUUGUCAAAUAUCGCGAAAAUAUACGCGUCUAUAUCUGGUGUCGAUGAGUCGACGUGGAUGAGAAAACUUUGGGGUGAGAACUAUUAUGACUCGAAAACCAAAGCGUGGACCACAAAGAGUACAGGAUCUGCAACUUGCACACGUGGGUUUGUUAAGUUCUGUUAUGAACCCAUUAAGAAGGUAAUUGAGGCAAUUAUGAAUGACCAGAAGGAUCAAUUACGUGGUAUGUUGACUCAAAUCGGUGUCACGAUGAAUAAUGAAGAGGAUGAGUUGAUGGGUGAGGCAUUGAUGAAAUGCAUCAUGCAGAAAUGGCUUCCGAUUGCAACUCCUUUACUUGAAAUGAUGAUAUUUCAUUUGCCUUCACCCCAGACUGCUCAAAGAUACCGGGUUGAAAAUCUAUAUAAAGGCCCUUUGGAUGAUCCGUAUGCUACUGCUAUAAGAAAUUGUGAUCCCGAUGGCCCUCUCAUGCUCUAUGUAUCGAAAAUGAUUCCUACAUCCGAUGACAAGAGUCGGUUUUUUGCUUUAGGUCGGGUUUUCGCAGGUCGGAUUUCAGCUGGUUUGAAUGUCAGGAUCAUGGGUUCUAGGCCUUCUGGCUAUGUCGACGGUGAAGACAAGGAUAUGUAUGUUGAAAGUGUUGAAAGAACCGCUAUUUGUAUGGGGAAAAAACAAGAAACCAUUAAAGAUGUUCCAUGUGGAAAUACAGUCGCGUUGUUUGGUUUGGAUGAAUUCAUCACCACCGGAAGUGCAACACUAACACAUGAGAAAGAAACCGAGGCGUACCCGAUUUGCGGCAUGAAGUUCUCGGUGUCCCCGGUUGUCCGUGUUAUAGUACAGUGUAAGGUUGAAUCCGAACUCCCAAAACUUCUUAAGGGUUUAAGGAGUCUGGCCAAAUCCGACCCUUUGGUUGGGUACACGCGUGAAGAAUCUGGCGAUUAUACUAUUGGUGUUGUGGGGGAAAUGAAUUUGGCAAUAUGUUCGAAGGAUUUGGCGGAAGAUUAUAUGGGUGGGGUGGAAAUCCUUGUUUCCGACCCUUUUGUGUCGUUAUAUGAAACUGUUGUUGAGAAAUCCUCACAUCUGGUUAUGACUAAGUCUCGAAAUGGAAAUAACCAAUUGUUCAUGAAAGCAAGAUCACUUGAUGAUAGUUUAGGUUACGCGAUAGAAAUUGGGGAAGUUGGUCCGUUUGACGACCCAGACGUUCGUGGAAGGAUUCUCUCUGAAGAAUACGGUUUGGAAAAAUAUCUCGGAAAGAAUAUCUGGUGUUUCGGUCCCGAAACAAAUGGGCAAAACAUGGUUGUCGAUAUGUGUAAGGAAGAUAAGUCCUUGAAAGAAAUUGAAGAUUAUAUUGUUGCUGGUUUUCAGGAGGCAUCUAAAAAAGGUGCUUUAGCUAAUGAGCCAAUGAAGUGUAUAUCUUUUGAGGUGCGUGAUGCGGUACUUCAUGAUGAUGCGUCCCACCUUGAUGGAAGCGAGAUGGUCGAGGCUGCCAAGCGUGCGAUAUACGCGUCUCAACUGACUGCGCAACCGCGGUUUAUGCAACCGUAUUACGUGGUUGAGUUUCAAGCAUCAUCUGAAGAAGAGGUUGACAAGAGCUGCAAAUUGGUGAGAAAAAGGGGUGGAUUUGUGCAUGAAAAGAAAAAAGUUAAUAGGCCGGGGAAAAUGGUGUAUGACAUAUGGGCAUAUGUUCCUGUGCUAAAGUCCUUUGGAUUUUCAGCUGAUUUGGAGGAGGCUACUUCGGUGAAGCUUAUCCCACAAUGUGUGUUCGAAUUUUGGUCUGUGAUGCGUUCGGACCCGUUGGAGGUUGGUUCAUAUGCGCAUGCGCUUAUGACCCAAAUUCGCAAGAGGAAAGGACUAAACGAGCAGAUGACACCGUUGUCUGACUUUGAGGACAAGUUGUAAGCAGGCGUGAACCCUUGCAGUAGCAUAUCGGGUUUAAAUUUUUUUAAAAAUCAUCGUUUAUUUAUUUGUUUGUUUUAGCAUCCUACUUUCAUUUUUCUAUUUAUUACUAGAUUAUUAAAGCAUUAUACUUUGAACGAUUUACCUAGUUAUAGCCGUGAAAAUUACUUUAUGUUUGAAUGACAUUUGUUAUAAUUGGUUAGAUUUAAGUUUGUAUACACUCAAAAAAUUGGUUGCUACUUUUGUUGUUUUCUCUAAUUACUUGAUUGCUAUUAUAUAUGUGGAUGGUUCCUGUUAAAAAUUGGUGUUACUUCACUCUCAUUUCUCCUUUGGUCAGGUGUUCAUUCACUUAUGUUUCAUUUAUCUGAAUUUUUCUUUCUUUAUUUUGUACUUUGAUUAAUAUUAUAGAGUAAGAAAGAUGAAAAUAUGAACUGAUUUCGUUAGACUGAAAGUUUACACCAUCUAACAUCUUUAUAAAACUUGUGUAAGUAACAGAGAAGACAACAAACUGUAAUAACAAAUUCUAACUAACUGAUUUUUUAUAAUCCAAUCGUAUCUCGUGUGACAAAGGACUAUAUUUUGUAGAUAUUAAUGUUAAAACAAUGUUUUAUAUCCUUGAAUUUUAGAAGAUUUUUUCAUUUUGUUCAAAACAAAUAACAUGUUUAUUAGUUUAGGUUGUUCAAAUAACAACUUAUAUGUAUCAAGAGUUUGAUGAUCAUUCAACUUUAUCCAUGAAUUUUUGGUCCCAGUUAGAAAAAUAGGAUAUCCUGUAAUCAGAAAGAAACAAAAAAAAUACACAUUGCUAUUUUCAUUUUUGGUCCCUCUUAAGUGUUACAACUCCAUAGUUACUUAAACAAGGUCUAUAUCAGUUAAUUCUUUUAGAUAGGGAUACAAAACAAAUUUUCAUUGUAGUUGUUGGUUAUAAUUUUCAAAGUAGAAUGUCAUUGUAAGAAAAUAAGUUAAAGUACAAUGCCAUGAUUGGAUGCAUUUUGCAAUUUGUGUCCUUAUUUUGUUAUUUCAUAAGGAUUUUGGUUUAUGAAUGAAAAUAGGAUCCUGUAAUCAGAAAAUAAUAUUAAAGUACAUUGUUGUCAUUAUAAAAACAUACUUUCAUUUAGUGGUUGAUUAUAACACUGUACUUUCAUGUGUAUGUCUUUUGCUGAAAAAUGACUAAAUACUUGCAAAUGUAUGUUGUGUUUAGCAUGAAAACGGUGCUGGAACACAUAAUAAGGACCAAAAAUGCGAAUCUUUUUUCUAUACCAGCAAAUUUUCAGUUGCAACCCUUGGAAUAUUUGUAGGUAUUCUCUUUUUAAAUAGUCCUUAUAAAAAAAAUUACAACAUAUUUUUUUCGUGUUUCAGUUUUCUAGCAAAAUUGGCAAGUUCUAUGUUCUCAGGUAAAAAAUGAUCAAAACGGUUCUCAAAACUCAUGGAAAGAAAAAAGUCCAUAAGAGAACUAAAAUUCGAAAAAAAAUGUCCAAAUCGGCAAUUGCUACUUUUCUCUUUUCUGAAAAAAAAAUGACACAUUUCUGUUAUCUACAAAAAAGACCAACUUGCCACUUUUUGUUUUUGGAUAAAUGACCAAAUUGCUACUUUUCUAUUUGCUUUUUAACAAAAGCACCAAACAAACACUUUAUUUCAAGAUUCUUUUAAGUAGGUUACUAUUUUUGACAGAUUUUGAAGUUGGGAAUCUGUUAAAUAGCAUCCUACUUUGAGAUUGUGCAGUUUCACAUGUAUUUACCAUUUUCUAGUUUUACAUGUUUUUGUCAUUAUCCAUUUUUACCGUUUUUUGCUUCUAUUUUCAUUUUCAUCAUGAUAAGGAUAAAGAGGGUAUUCACAUCUUUUCCGCAUAUUAGAGAUAGAGAGCAAGUUGCCUCACCUUUUGAGUGAGAAAUAUUGUAAAUCUUUUUCUCUUCACAUAAGUCCCGAUCUCAAUCCAAUAACGCUUGUACAACUAUCAAUGCAUGAUGUACACACCACCAAAGAAAUAUUAUUGCGAGAUAUGUAUUUUUUACUUACGUAUUUUUGUUCAUUUUUUCAGAUUUAGUUGUAUACAAAGAAGUGCUUGCAAGGUUAUGGUUAAUUGUUUAUUAUUAUUAUUAUUAUUAUUAUUAUUAUUAUUAUUAUUAUUAUUAUUAUUAUUUUAACUUGUCACCCCGUAUAGUGAGUUUUAAUAUAGUUUUUUAAUGUAUAAAGAUCUAAAUGUUUGGAUGUGUUCAAAAACUUUUUGUAUCUUGUCUUUUUGUAAAUUGACAUAUCAUCUAUUAGAAGUUUAAACGUUUUUUAUUAUGCAAAAGUUCAUAUGUUUAAAAAAAAUGGAAUGUCAUUUAAAUUAGGAAAAGUUUUUUUUUUCACAUAAUAAAUAAAGAUGAAUAUUAAUUUGGUUGGUGUAUUCAUUUCUAGGUCGUUAAGCCUUAAAACUAUUAUAGUACCAUUCAAACAAACUACAUCCUCAACUUCGUUUUGAUUUAGUCGAACAUUUUUGGUCAAGUAAUGACCACGUGUGAAUAUCUUAUUAUUUUAAAUAUUAUAAUACAUUAGUGCUUAAUAUAUUAAUUAUGUUUUGUAUAUUUUACUUUACUUCUAUAAAGAAAACUAUAUAUAGUUAUAAACUAUUUAUUAUUUUAUUUUAGAUAUAGUAGAUUGUUUAAUAUUAAAUUAUUUGAAAAUUAUGAUUGAAAUUGUGAGACUAUAAAAAAAAUUAUAAGAAGCUUUUUGUGUAGGUGAUUGAUGAUGAUCUGACAUCAAAACAACACUGAAAAGCUUUAUGAAAAAUUCUUCAUAUUAUGGGUGAUGUAAUUAUAACUUGACAAAACUUCAAAAAUGGUCCUGCGGUUUUCGAAAAUAUCAAGUUUAGUUCUAAUUAAGUUCAAAAAACCUCACAGAUGGUUCCUGUGGUUUCAAAACUUUUAACAAAUGAUCUUUUUUGCUAACUCGGUUAACAUUUAGCCAUUAAUUGAAUGGCAUUUCUGUCAUUUCACAACCACAAUGACCAUUUAUGAAGUUUUGCCUUAAUUUUUUAAUAAAAAAGAAAAAAUAAAUAUAAUUAUUUAAUAUUAAACACCUCUCUCUCUCUCUCUCUUUCUCUUGUGAAUCAAAUCAUUCUUCGUUGCCCCCACCAUCGCAUCAUUCCUCACCGUUUGUCACCACCAAAUUCUACCACCGGUUCCUCUGGUAAACACUCUGGUCUGCAUCCCAUCCUUCUCUUCCUCCCUAAAAGUUCACCAAGAAACGGGUUCUCCGUUUUAGUCACCGGAGCAAACAUGAAAUCGAUUAGCAACCCCAAUGAAAUCAUUCAUAAAAUCAAGAAACAGGUUCUCCGUUUUAGUCACCGGAGCAACCAGAAGACGAAAUGGGGACAUCCCUCCUCCACCCCUCCUCAUGUUGAUCGGAAACAACCAAACACCCCUGAGGAUCGUUGCUUCCCUCCGCUGCUACUUCAUUGUUUCCUUCCCUUCCUCCUUCGUGUUUUUCCAAUGGAACAGAUAAGGAACGACCAAGGAGGCCACCAGAGCAACCCCCUUGCUAUAACAGUCACCCAACAUCAUAAGUUGCCUUCGUUUUCUUCCUUCAUUUUGGCGAUUGUCCAAAUCCCCCACCGAACCACCUCUGCUUCCAUUCUUCUUUCUCCAUUCGAUCUAGUGUUUCCCAUUCCCCUCGAUUUGUGAUCGCCGACGACGAGAGAAGAGCCAAGGGGAGUUUGUCGGAAAUCGACUCCCUUUUGCGAUCUAUUUAACCAUCAGACCACCAUUUGGACUGCUUCCAUCCGUGUUCCUUCUUCCCUUUCCCGAUCAAUGAAGAAGAGGCGUAAACCAACAAGGGGUUAUCGGUCUCAACGUACACCCUUUUCCCUCCUCGUGAUUUCCCAGCCGCACCGGACCUCCCAUCGAUCUGCCUUUCGUUCGUCUAUUCCUUGCCCAAUCUGAUGGAUACAAUGAUUAUUCAAGGUCAAAGUUGGUUUGGCUUUUUGGAGAAGAUGAAGCUAUAAGAAUACGUAUUGUACAAGUCUCAAAGCAAUAAGGAGAGAGAGAGAGAGAGAGAGAGAGAGAGAGAUCAAAUUUCUUUCAUUUUUUCUUUUUUUUUAUAAAAAAAUUAAGAUAAUAAGAGAAAACCUCAUAAAUGGUCCCCGGAUAUUUGAAACCACAUGGACCAUCUAUGAGGUUUUUUGAACUUAGGGACUAAACUUGAUAUUUUCAGAAACCACAGGGACCAUCUUUAAAGUUUUGCUUAUAACUUUGGUUCUUUAAUAAAUACUUUUUGUACCGAGGGAACAAAAUAUGAAAAUUUUAAAACGGUAUUUGGGCGUUUUGCGUGAGCUGUUCGAGAUGAGUCUCAUACUCUCAUAUACAAAAGUGGGGAUUAGAGCUAUCUCAAUAAAGUCUAUGAUUGGUUUGAAGAACGUCUUAAGAUUUUACAGAUGAUAAAACUAGUAGAUCUGUUCCUCCUCAUGUAAAUAUAUUUUAUUGUAUAGGAGAGGAUUACACUUACUUGUUUUUUUUGUCCAACUGGCUACAGGAUUUGAUAUGACCUUUUACUAUCGUCCCCAAAAAAGAGACAAGUGUGGGGUGCAAAUUUUGGAAACCACCACCUAAUUUGGAACUAAACACAAAUCAAUUUCUUUUAUAUUUGAUUAUUUUCAUGGUCAUAAAUACAUACUUUUAUAGAUUAUAAUUUACUAUUUGUUGUUGAAUGUAGAAAAAGAAUCAAAAAUUGGAUUGUUUAACAUACAAAUAACAUAAUUAUAAAAAUAUUAGACUUUGUUAAACUUCAGGUAAAUGGAAAACUUACUUUAAAGCGUAAUGAAGUUUCCACAAUGUUCAAAAAAUGCCGCACUUUUUGUUAACUGCGUUGUUUUCAGAUUGUGUAAAACACUGUCAGAUCAUACACCGUCAUAUCAGUUCAUAACAGUUUUUAAAUUUCUUUCAUUCCCUCACUAGGUCGUUUUUGUGGUAACAUGAGAAGUAAGUGGGUAAUAACCUUAGUUAAGGAUUAUUGCUUCCCGAUGACAUUAUAUGCCUCAAACUUAAAACAUAUAUUCGUUAUAUAGAUACAUAUAUUAUAAAUCAAGGUUAGUCAUUCAUUAGUGUUGCGGCACAAGAAAGACACAAAGGAGAAACGAGUGUGGCGUUAUGUCAUGAGAAUUCCUAAAUAUGAAUGUAGAGAGUAAAUGCGUUUAAUUCUCAUGGACCAGUGAGAGAUGAAUGACCAGGAACACUCAGCAUCAUGUGGUUGAUUUGAUGACAAUUUGUAGUCAAAGUAGAGAAAGAAGCAUAUGUAUUGGAGCGCUUGAAUGCAAGAUUGGAGCGCUUGAACGCUUGCAUCAUAUAUAAUUGAUGGAUUCUUAGUUAUGUGUUUUUCUAUGAUUGUACUUAGAUACAAACUGAUCGAGUGAGGUAAUGAAAGAGAGUACACAACUGGUGUGAACUGGUACGACGAUGAAUAAUAUCCGAUCACCGUGUUCUAUAUAAUCUGGAAACAACGAAGUUGACAAAAGUUGCUCUGAAAAAACAACAAUGGUAUUUUUUUAAAACAUUUUUGAAACUUCUAUAGUAUUUAUUGUACUAAAAUGUGUACUUCGUUAAUAUUCUUCGUACAAAUGGUAUACUUAAGGGUAUUUUUUGUACUUAAAAAACAAUGGUAAUUUUAAAACAUGUUGGAAACUUCAUUUUAAAUUGUUUUUUCGUUUACCUAUAAUAACCGGUUACCAAAAUGUUUUAUUUGAAUACAUAUGUCCUUAUUAUGUGUACAAAAAAAAUAUACUUUAAUAAUAUUUUGUAUACUAAAGAAUUUUUUUUGUAUAUUUUUAAAACUUCCUUACCUUUUUAAGUAAUUUUCCAAAAAAAUAAAAAAUCUGUAAUAAAGAGGGCUAGUGGGUGGUGAUUUUUGCAAUUCAGAACCCAUAUCUUCCAUCACCACCACCACCAAACUCUUAGAAUCCACAAUUGUCGUCACCUCCUACCCAUAAAACUCGAUACAACCCCACUUUUUUUCAAUAGGAUGUGACUUACACAUGACCUGUAACUGAAAAUGGCAGGGAUGUUGAACCUCGUUCUAGUUUGAAGCUCAAUAUCCGAGAAUGUCAAAGCCAUUUUUGGCGUCAAAUCAGACUUGGUUGUGAUAGGUUAUAUUAUCCUUUCUUCCACAGGAGCUUCUGUUUUUCCAGAUACUACCAAGGCUUCCGGUGAAAGCUCUACCCAAUGUUAUGUGUGUUUGCAAGAAAUGGUACUUGUUCCUAAAAUCAGGUAAUUUUGGCACCACCUACCACCACCACGUAACCACCAACGACGACCAUGAAAACCACCACAAACAUCUCAUCUUAACUUACACCGAUGGAUCAAGGUUCUGUAGCAUCGACUGUGAAACACCUAAUGAUGGUUUAACGGCGGGUCUUCGUUUACCAUUACCUUACUCAUAUAUCGACAAAAUGGUGGUUUUGACAUCUUUGCAUGGACUAUUAUGCGUAGGCACAGGCAAUUGCAAAUCCCAAUAUUCUGACAAUUCUUCUGGUCUACUUUUAUGGAAUCCUUUGACAGAUGAAUAUAAGAAUUUGUCUAAUAAGGGUUGUCAUGAUAAAGAAUGUUACACGAACAUUGAACAGGGUAUAUUUGGGUUGUAUUAUGUAUCUUCUCUUGACGACUACAGGAUUCUACGUGUAACCUAUUAUCCUAGUAUUUAUAUUUAUAUAUACUCAUUAAAAUCCGACUCAUGGAGAAAGGUCGAGUCUACACAGAACUUCCUACAAAGUGCUUCCAACUGGGCUUCACUUGCAUGUAAGCAGGAGCAUCCAAGUCAAAUUCUAUUGAAUGAAAAACUCUAUUUCUUAAAACAAGUCAAUUAUCUAGGACGAGGAACUUUGAUUAAGUCGUAUUCAGUUAUGAGGUUCCACACAAAGACCGAAGAGUUCACAGAGAUAGCAAUGCCCUCUUUCGGAAACCAAAUGACAAGGUGUUUGGGAUUCAUGGUUCUAAGAGGAUGCAUCCACUUCUGUGUUGUCAUUCUCAUUGGGAAAGAAAAUGAUAUAGCAAACCGACGAUGUUCUGAAAUGAUUGAGUUAUGGAGAAUGGAUGGAGAUAAAGAUUGGACGAAGGUGUUAACUUAUGGCCCGAUGUCGUUUUCUCUUUUGGGUGGGUCGAUAUUGCACUUUAUGAGAAAUGGAAAUUUGCUCCUUCAAAAUGAAGGUAAUGUUUACGUAUUCGAUAUGAAGAAGGAUACCAAAGAAAUUGUGUUUACAUGUCACCCAAUCAAUCCACCAAAUAUGUAUGAAGCACACCAAAGAAGAAUGGAUUGCGAUAUCCCUCCACUAGGGAAAUACAUCGAGACUGCUACUGUGUCACCCAAUCGUUACCCCCUACAUGUAUGUAGUAACUCCAUCAUACUCAUCUUUAAACGUAAUCAUUUCCUCUUUUAUUAGUUUUAUAUAGUAUUUUUUUCGUUAUAUUGCACGACUCAUAUAUAGACUCAUAGAUUGGAUUGGUGAAUAAUUAAUUUUAAGACAAUUAUGACAGUAUUCUUCUUCGUCCUAUUGUAUUUAAAAUAUUUUCAUACAUCAUACUAAAAUUUUAAAACCAAAAAAGCAUAUGUAGAUUGCAGAAAUACGUUUAUAUAAUAGUUUUCUUACUUGCUUUUAGUACAAUAAUAAUGUUGUUUUGGUAAAUUGUAGGAUGCAUAUGAGAGAGGUAUGAUUGAUAAGUAUGGGGAGGACAUACUUGAACACACAGGAAAUGAUGUUGAGUUGUGGGCGCUAAGUCAAGGAGGUAGAAAGGAUCAUCAUCUUUAUGGGAUAGGAUCGACUGAUCAUGAUUUCACAAUGACACGGACACCAUCGUAUGGGUAUUCCAUGGUCUCCAUUGAGUAUGUACAUUCACAGCUGCAGGUAUACUUAUAUAAUAAAUAUAUUGUGUUGUUAUAAAAAGUAUGAUGCUAUUAUAUACAAAAAAAAAUGAUGCCUAUAUUAGUAAAAGAAUAUAGUAUGUUUUUAUUUUAGAUAAAAAAANAAAAAAAAAAAAAAAAAAAAAAAAAAAAAAAAAAAAAAGGAAAAGUACAUUUUUAUUAUGUAAGUAGAUCUACAUUGUUAGAAAGAAUAUAGUAUGUUUCUAUUAUGUAUAAAAGAUGAAGUCUAUUCUAUUAUGGAUAAAAACAUAGAAUACAUUGCUAUUAUGAAUAAAUUAAAAGUAAUGUAUAUUCUUAUUGUGGAUAAAAAUAAAUAAAUACGAUUAUGUUUCUGUUAUGGAUAAAAAAAUAAAGUAUUUUGUAUAAUGUAUUAAAAUAAAGUAUAUAUUGCUAAUAUUGGCUAAAACUUAAAAUAUAUUGCUAUUAUGGAUAACAAUGUAAGUAUAUUUUCUAUAUUGGUAAAAUAAACAUAUUAUGUUGUUAACAUGGUUAAAAAAUAUAAUAAUUUACUCUAUUAAAAUUUACAAUUAUAUGGCAAAAAUAAAGUGUUGUUGUCGAUAUCACCAAAAGUAAAGUACAUUACUCGUACGUAUUAAAAUAAAGAUUGUUACUAUCAUGGAUAAAACCAAAAAUAUUUUGGUAUUUUAGAUAAACAAACUAUAAGUACAUUUCCUUAUAUUGGUAAACAAGAAAAGUAUGUUGCUAUUAUGGAUCAUAAAUAGUGUAUGUGGCUAUAAUGAAUUAAACAUGUUAAGAGAUAUAGAUUGUUUUAAUAAUUAAAAAGUGUUUAUUCAAUAAUUAUAUAUUAUUAUUUUUAACAUUUUUUAGAUACGGGACUUGCAAAUCCAGAUGGAAGUGGAACGAAAAGCACGAGAAGACUUACAAGAUCGAAUAGAAACUGAACGAAAAUCACGAGAAACGAUGCAAGCACAAAUAUCAGAACUUAUGAUACGAUUUGGUAACCAUCGUGGAAAUCCACCAAAUUGAUCCUAGUUUUUUAUAUUUGUUAUUUUAGAAACUUGUUAAACACUUGUCUUUUAUUAUAUUUGUGGUUUAGACGUUUAUUAAAACUUAUGUUUUAUUGUAUAAGUUUAAGAUUUAUAUUUACCAAUGUUGUAAAACUUGAGAUCAUAACUAAGAUCGUUUUACAUUCUUAAUGAUCAUGAUCGUAAGAUCGAAUCAGUAUCCAAAGAUCCUACAAAAUGAACUAGUCUCCAAAUUUGCUUGUAAUCUCUUGUUUAUGUAGUACCAAUUUACUCAUCAAUGAUGGAAUAAAAAAUUAUUUUUUAGCCAUGAAUCAUAAAUUUGGAUGCUACAAACCGCAAAAAUUAUUGAUAAAACAUUAAUUUUAAGCAUAACAAGAAUUAAGAUCAUAAUGACCAUAUACAACUAAAGACAUAAGAUCACAAAUGGAAUAACAUUGAUACUCUGCUUAAUUCAAGAUGAAGUGGUGAUGCUUUAUGAGACUUCUUGUGACAUGAGAUAUUUGAUUUCAAGUUGAGUACGACUUUUUGAGGCUUAACUAUAUAAUAAAGAAUAAAACGUUAGAAUCAUGCCGAAUUAAGAUCUUGUGACUAUUCUUCAUAAUGCUCUUUUUUUUAAUCAUCUAUAAUAUUAUUGAACGUCUUGUUUUUAUCAUUAUUUAUAAUGCUCGUCAAAUGGUCAUGAACAUUGAUUUUAUAUUUUUACUCGAACUAGAAAUAGAAUAAGUUACUCGUCGAUAAUAAAUGUACAUAUCUACGAAAAUUACUUGUUUGCAACUAAAUGAUUUUUAUUUCAAAUAUGUAAAUACCUAUUAAGUUUAUCAUUUUUGAUCCAAAAGAAGUAUUGAGAGAUUAUAAAGCAUGAUAUCAUGGGGUUUAUGAUAUUCUUUUAGCAUGGUCGAAUUCUUAAUGGGUGUAAUUCUUUCCUUCUUACUCUAAUUUUUAUGACUGACUGCCCGACUCUAGUUGCUGGUUAUCGGUCCAUAAACCUCCAUAGUUGUCAAUACAAAAUCUUAGAUAAGAUCCUUAUGAAUUGGUUAAGGUGGUAGAUGUAGUUGUAAGUAUGGUGGAGUCUACCUCUAUCAAAGGAAAGCAAAUCUUAGAUGGUAUGUGAAUUAUGAAUAAGAUCAUUCAAUGGUUCAAGAAGAUAAAGAAACAAUUACUAGUUUUGAAGAUUGAGUUUGCUAAGGAUUACGAUUUACUAAAAUUGGAUUAUUUGCUUUGUGAUUAUGUAGUUUAUGGGGUUUGGUAAUUAAUGGUGUGCUUGAAUAAGGGCAUGUUUGAAGUCGACUAGGGCUUUUAUUGUAACACCUGUGUCCUCAUGUAUGAUUUCUAAUACUUAACUUUGCCAUUUAUGCAAUUUGGGUGUCCUAUGUUGGGCGUAGGAUAACCUCCCAUGGUGGCCAUAUGCAAAAGAUUCCAUGCAAGGGUUAUAAUGAUCUACGCUGAGCAUAGAGAUACCUACAUUGGGCGUAGGAACACAACAUCUAAACCAUAAUUAAAGGGUUGUAAGCCCUAUUUAAAGGCUCUAACUCUUGAGGACCUCCUCAUGAUCAACCCCCAUCCUCAAAUUCGGUGACCUAGAAACCCUAGUUAUCUUGUGAGAGUUUUAGAGCCUUAGUGUUUUUUUGUGUGCAUUCUUGAAGAAGGAAUUCAUUCGAUAAAAAAUUGUGAGCUCCAAGCUUUGUAGAUCCAUACAUUGCACUUCAUCAUCCACCUUCAGGAGGUAUAAAGGUUACAUAUUGAUGUCCCUUUAUGAUAGACCUAGUUAGCUCUUGAGUUUUUAUGCUUUUUGUUCGCUAACUUUGGUCAUUAUGAGUAUGAGCUACUGAAACCUUAUGAGUAUCAUUUCCAAUCAUUUCUGGACUUUUAGAGUCAUAAAAAUGGGAGUUUGGUCACUCUCAUCCAUCCAUGCAUGAGCUCUUGAGCAUUAGAGUGUUUAUGGACUCAGGAUUUGGUCUUGUGAUCUUUUAAGGCAUGCAAAGGUAUAAAGUCAGAGACUCUACCACUUAGGAUGUUCAUUAGGUCCAGACCUAAGAAUUGGAUGUUUAGUCCUUAGUAUUAAGAGCUUAAUAUGAUGUUGGUAAAUCAACGUAUCUAUGUUGGGCAUAAUCUUGGCUACGCUCAGCGUAGCUUGGUAAUGCCCUGUUUCCCAUCAGAGGCUCUACGUUGGGCAUAGAGCAUGGUGUUAUGUUGGGCGUAGAACUAGAAGGUUAAUUUUGACAAAAUGGAUAUUAGGUCAAGUGGAGUGGGUUCUAAUCUUAGAAGGAUAAAAUGGUAUUUUACCCCCAAGUAGAUAAACUACAAACCAAGACCCUCGAGUGUGGAUUAUUAUCUUAAUUUUUGGUUAGGUUCUUAUUAUGUAUAUGAUUUGUGUAGGGAGUUCUACAAGCUCUUUGUGAAUCCUUACUCCUUCUUUAAGCUCCUUUCUCUUCCAAAGCACCAAAACUACACCAAGAUACUCUCAAAUGGCUUCCAAAUCACAAGGACACACAAAUAUGGGUUAGGUUUUUCGUGGUGGCUGCAUAGAGAUGAGAUGGAGGCUAGACCAAAGGCAUAAGUCCUUUAUAUAGGGAUCAAACCCUAAAAGUUAGGGUUUUAGAACAUGCGCGUAUGUUGCGCGUAUGUUACGCGUACCCUUUGGUACACUAGGAGUACGUGCAUGGCCUCCCCGCCCCAUCUUCUUGAGUACGUUGCGCAUACCUGGCAUGGUACGCCCCGCGUAAUGCCUUUCUCAGCCCAAAGCUUAAGGCCCAACUAUCUUUUCCCAAACCAACAACAACCCAUUGUUCAAUAAAAUAAAUAAUAUUAAUAGCUGCAAAUCCCGGAUGUUACACAUUUAGUUACUUUGUUUAUUCCAUUAUACUUAUUAAUGAGAAUUAAGUGUCCUAUCAAACCCGUUUGGCUAACGACCCUCCACCAAUCAAGGGAGCAGUAGGUAAUAGUGGAUACCCAAUGGCGAUCAUAUUGUAAGCCGCUUCCUUAAACUCCCAUUAUAGAUCAACUUCGUGAAUGAGGCAUACUAGCAGUUCGACUGACUUUUCUUAUACAUAUAGUAAAUAUUUAAACUUUUAAUAUUACAUAUAGUGUAAGGGUGUAUUGUAAACUUUUAAAAAUACUAAGGUUUUAAAUUUUCGAAAAUUAAAACAAUUUUAAUUUAAAGUUAAAAAGUUUUUUUUUUAAACUAUGAUUUAAUUAUCCUUUAAUUAAAUUAUUAAAUCAAUUAAAGAUUAUCUAUUAAAAAAAUGAUUUAACUUAAUCCCUAUCCUCAAAUUUUCGAAAAACAUAAAUGCCAUAUUUAAACUUUCAAAAUUAAUAUUCAAUUAAUUUAAAUCAAAAAUACAACCAAUUAUCAAUUUUAGAUAAGGAUAUCCAAUUACAAUUUUAAAAUAUUCAGAUUUACUCAAUUAAACAAUAUUAUAAAAGGUAAUUAUCCUAAUCAAAUUAAAAGAUAAUUAAAAAUCAAAAUUUUUAGGAUCUAACAGCUCAACACGUUAUGGUGAGCAAUCAGCACGUCGUGUUGGGUCGAAUCUGUAGGCCAACACAUCGUGUAGCAAGAACUGCACGGCGAGUUGGAUGAACAGAAAGCAGAUUCCAAAAAAAUUUGUGUUCAAUCAAUUGCAUCAAAUCUAAUUGAAAACACAACCAAUAACUCUGAUACCACUGAUGGGUUUUGUGCAUACAAACAAUCUUAUGUGUGCAUGCAACCCUAAAUAAUUGGAUCUAGGUUUUCUCUAUUAGACAUACAAGCAUUGAACACAAAAACUAGAAACUCUAGGAGGCAUGUACGAUUUUCGAAAUUAACAUAAAACUAGGUUUUAGAUACAUACCUUUAUUGUUAUGUAGUAAUAACAAUGAUUCCUUUGAAGAUCUUGACUUUGAGAACAAGUGCCACAAAUAUAACACCUCUAAUGGCUCACAAACACACCAAGGCAAGAGGAUGAUUAUGAGAGAGAGGAGAGAGUAGGGAGGCAUUCAAAGUUUUGGCUUUUCUAGUGUUUCUUUGGAUGGCUGAAAUCUAAAGGGGGCGAUCCUCCUUUUAUAGUCAAGGUUGCUUAGUCCCAAAGCUAGGGUUUUUAGGUGGAAACCUUAAUUCCCAGCUUAAGGCCUAAGCAGCCCAUGGAUCCCCCUCCCAAAGGCCAUGGAUGAAAAUCCUUAAGGCAUUCCUAAGAUUUUCGGUCAACCCUCUAUAGGGUGAUCCAAGAGCCCAAACCACAACUAUUAAUUAAUUGCAAAAUAGCCCCUGAACUUUUAAUUAAUUCAUUUAAUCCCAAAAUUAAUUCCAAAUUAAUUUCUGAUUAAAUAUUAAUUAAUAAUAUGACUUCUAAUUAAUAUAUUAUUUCCAUAAUAUAUUAAUAAAUCAUUUAUUUCAAUUUAUUAAUCAAAUUAAUAAAUUCUUCAUCUUCCUCAAUUAAUCAUCAUGUCUAGUAGCCUGUGUGAAGGCAACUCAAAAGGACAAUGCUACUAUCAAUUCAAGUACAUACCAAAUAUAGUUAUGGGCUUAGACACCUAAUCCAAUAUCAGUUUAUUGUUUCAGGUACUCCAAAGGAUCAUGGGAAAGUGAAGGCGUGAUAGUGCACAUCUUCCUGUAUUUAUGACAUUGGAUCUUGGGAUACUUUGAUUUUGAAUAAUAAUUUGAAACAUUGGUUUUAUAAACACUUUAUGGAAGAAAAUUGGUUGUUUUGAAAAGUUUAAAUUUAUUGUGGUUUUUGGAUGUUGCAAAUUAAGUAAUUGUUUGUUAAUGAUUAACAAAACAAACUAGGUCAAGUCAUUAAUUGAAUGAUGUCUUAAAAGUAUCCACUAAAAGUUAACUGCUAUAAAAUCCCCUAAAAGGAUAAGCUAGAAGGAAUGGUUAAUCUUGUUCGUGGUUUGAGAAUAGCUCUCUUAAACAUAAAGAAAGAUCGUACAUUUAGGAAGGAUCAAGUAUCAAAUAUACUUAGUACAUCGAUAACAUUGAUCCAACAUGGAACUCCAUCAAGUUAGGAGUUGAUUAUGGAAACAUAACCGACUUGCUAACCUAGGCAUAUAAUCAGGUGAUUCUGAUUUGAUAUAAAUAAAAACUUUGAAAUGUCUAUCCUAGCAAAUGUUAAGUGUACAAAUUGAAGUAAUAUGGUGGCUGCUCUUGAUCACAUUCCACCGGUUCAAAGGCGAUGUGCUCCGAUUACCACCAUGGCUACAUCCUCUGACGCCAAUCCCCUCCUUAUCUUGUUGAUUCCUCUUUGCCCCUUCUAAUGUUGGAAUAUCCCUCUUCUUGUAUAAAUAAAAUCCUUUACACCAUCAACAUACACAAUAAAGAUAAUAAAGAUGAUCUCAUGCUUACCAAUUUUGAUGUUCCCGCUCACUAGUGUCUUAACGAAAACCAAAUCAGGGUUCAAGGUUAACCUAUAUACAAUGUUCAAAAUUGUUUUUACUUAAAGUAUUUGUGUUCUUGGUCUGAUAUCAAUUCUCAUAAAAUUAUCCAUAAAUAGUUCGGGUGAAGUGCAACCUAAAUGGACCAUGUUGGGUCGGGUCAAGUAUAUACCAAAUAAGUUAUGGACUUAGACACCUUAUCCAACAUAUAUAUAUAUAUAUAUUUAUGUCGACAUAUGGAUGGUUGGGUUGAGGCUGCCCGCGAACAAACCAUGUAUGGUUGGGUUGAGACUGGAAGUCAACAUACUUGGUGUUUUGGUAAAAUUACACAAGUACUAAUCAGCCAAAUUGAAUGAGAGGUUGUGAUGUUCAUAUUGUAUAAUGGCAAGUAGUAAAAGAAAAAUGAAACGAUUGUUUACAAGGAAAGCCCUUGAUCCUUGCUAGGAUCUUCGGCAUAAAACAUUGGGAGGUGAUAAUGAUCACCUGUCUUGAUGAUUUUAUUGGUAUAAAGUAAAGAUUACAAUGAGUUCUUAGUAAGAAUGAGUAGAGAAUUUCGUAGAGUAAGCUUAAGCUAAAGAACAGUGUCUUGUGUGCAGAUUACAAGUGUCAAUUUAUAGUCUAAUACAACCAACAAGAUGUCCGAUAUUUUCGGGAUCCUCUAUGACCAGCUUCAUGAACGUUAUUUAACCAAGCAUUCUGGGUCUUUAGUAUAGUUGAGAUGAUUCUUCGUUAAGAAUUGGUCUUCCCUUAACUACUUCUGCACACGUGUUAGUUAAUAGACAAAAUAUGACCGUUAUAAAUAUUGAUAAAAAUAAUAACGGCUACCCUCGCCAUACACCAUAAGUACUCCCCCACUACGGUCUCGUAUAGUCACCAACUGACGCUCGCAGUCGAUAACAGCUCCAAAUCGGCUCAAUCAGUCCAUGCCCACGAUGACACAGACAUCCCCUAUCGCAAUCGAUACCAAAUAUAUCGGGAACUCAACACCGAAAAUCUCGAGUACACAUCCUCGAAUCACAUUGGUAGCAAAAACUGCUCGCUCGUCAGCUAUAGAAACUCGCAGAGGUCGACUCAACGCCUCUCAUUGGAUACUGAUGUGCCGACUAAACGCUAAUGACACGAAAGAUCAACUCGCACCCGAGUCAAAUAACACCAAAGCAGGUAAAGAGUUCACAAGGAAAGUACCUAUGCAUACUACAAUAUAAGCAUAAUAUCUCAAACUCAGUAUAAGUAAAUAAAAGAAUACAUACCAGCCACGACAUCGGGCGCUGCACGGACCUCUUCCGCUGUCAACCGAAAGGCUCUCCCGCAAGCCUUCGGUGCCUUGCCUUCGCUGGCCGGACCUCGGUAGCUCUAGCAGCAGGUGCAGAUCCCUGUGCUGAUCCCUGAAGCAGCUGUGGGCACUCCGCCUUCCGAUGGCCAGUCUGGUUGCAGUGAAAGCAAAUCGUAAACCACUUGGGGUAAUCCCUCGCGAAAUGCCCCUCCUUGCCACACUUGUAGCACACACUCGCUCUACACACCCCCUCAUGGCUCUUGCCGCACUUCCCACAAGUGCGCCCCUUCUGUCCUCCAGAUCUCGAAUCAGCGGGCUUCGCCCGCUUGGCUGCCGGCUGAGACUGGACCGACUGCCUAUCCCUACUCUGAGACUCGGCCUCCUCCCUGGCCUGAGUCUCUAACCCGAUCUCCCUCUUCCGAGCAUUUGCCUGGAGCUCGAAAAAUUUAUGGUAUAUCGAGUUCGCCACGAACUCACAAAUGUCUCUCCUUAGUAUGCUCAGAUAUUGGCUCAUACGUGCCUGAUCAGUCGACACGUGCUCAGGGAAAAUUAACGCCCUCUCAUGAAACAUCCUCGUAAUCACUGUCACAGACUCAGUUCCCUGCUUAAGGGACAAGAACUCCUGGGCCAAACGUUCCCUCUCCACAGGGGGAACAUACUCAUCUCGGAACAUGGUGGUGAACCGCUCCCAAGUCACCGUGGUAAGCUCUACAGUAGUAAAGUCAGCCGUCACAAACUUCCACCAGUCCUUCGCUCCUAAGCGAAGCUGGUUCAGCGCGAACCGUACCCUUAGAUGCUCCGGACAAGAACAUGUGUAGAAGCAUCCCUCAAUGUCAGAGAUCCACCUCAUAGCGGCUAUCGGAUCUUGAGUCCCAUUAAACUCUGAUGGCUUUGUGUUGCUGAACUCCUGGUACAGCAACGAGUCACCCCCCUGUGGCCUAGCAGCGGCGAUGGCUGCGGUGGCCGCAACAACAACAACAUCGGUAAGAGCAGCGUACCGCUCAUCAAAUGUCUCAAUCAACGUGGUCUUGAUAGACCCAAAUGUCUCUGAUAUCUCAGCUCGAAUGGCUGCAACCACCUCAUCAUGAAUCAUCCUGCGAAUUUCAUCAUCGCUAACACUGUUGCUCCCUGGAGUGUGGCACGUACUCACAAUGAUGUCUCCGAAACACAACACAAAAGAAAUCAAAGACUCGCUCAAGUAUUCUCGCACUCGAUCACUCAACCCUACUUGUUCCUUAGUACCCUAAGGAUUCUUACUUGGACUUCUCACUGACCUAGAGUUUCGAGUAGUACGGGCCUUAUACUACCUUCCACACCACAUCAAUAUUCACCCUAAGUCCUCUUCCUAGGAUCCCAUAUCACAAGUACUCUAUAUCUUGCUGAAAGCAGGCUACCUCCAGUAGACCUCUCAUAAGCUCCUCUCUGCUACCUACUCACACUCGAAGUAAUUCACAGUAGCAGUAGCUCCUAGGCUAAGGCAUAAAAAAUCAGGCCACUCUAGUCCUAAUUAUGAAUACCUAGCCUACUCUAGCAUGCAUAACACAUUUCAUAAUAUCUCAUAACACAUAACGUAAGGGUAUUUUGGGAAAUCACCGUUCGGGCGCUGGCUGAUUGACACACUGCUCUUUUCUUCUCUUUUGAAUCUUUUACUAUUUUUAGAAAUCGUUUCUUUUUUAAAACUUUUCUUAAAUCCUCAGUUUGAGUUCAGAAAUGCCCAAAGGUGUAUCCGAAUCCCUCAAACCAAGGCUCUGAUACCAACUUGUAAUGACGCGAAAAUUUAAAACAAUUUUUCAUUUUUCAAACAUAACAUAUCUCAUAUAAAUCAUUUCAAACUCAAGUGUAUCAAUGUUAUCACGGUAAAACAUAUCCCAGAAUCUCAAUUACAAAAUCCUCUGUCAGUGUGUACAAAUCAUGCCGGCACCUUCCCACGAUCCUCGCUAGUACCUGAAACACAUAUCACAUAACAUGGUAAGCAUAAAUGCUUAGUGAGUUCCCCAAAAUACCAUAUACAACACAUAAGCCACUCGAGGUUAUAACUUGGUAAGACCCUCCGGUCAAUGUGUCUCAGUGGGACCCUCCAGUCCCGUAGCUCGUUGGACCCUCCAUGUAACAACUCAAAUUUUUCAAACAAAUUUUUCAUUUUUAAAACAUAAUAUUUUCCAUUAAAACAAGGCAUAAAUAGUUUAAUUAUUCGGUCAAUACAAUUAUUCAAACUCCCAAGAUCCUAAAACAAUCUUCGGUGUGUAUCGAUCAUGCCGGCGCCUUCCCACGGUCCUCGCUAGUACCUGAAAUACAUACAUACACAACAACUGUAAGCAUAAAUGCUUAGUGAGUUCCCCAAUAUACACUUACACACAUACGCCUUUCCAGGCCCUGACCUUCUGGUCCUCAAUACAACGCCUUCCGGCCCAUAACAUAAUCGCCUUCCGGCCCAUAACAUAUUGCCUUCCGGCCCACAUAUCAUACAUAGCACAUAUAACACUUAACUUACCACAUAUAGCAUACAUAUCCAUAUAACACUUAACUUACCACAUAUAGCAUACAUAUCACAUAACAUAUUCGACCUUCCGGUCACACAGUCAAACCCUUCCGGGUACAGUAUAGUGAGAAGACUCACCUCGUAAGUGCUGAAAGCUAGCAACUCCUGAAAUCACUCGCGCACAAACCAACGAGCUACAACCCUCCUAUAACAUUACAUAACUCAUUAACACUCAUAUCAUCUAAGUGUGACUAUCCCUAAGAAGUCAGACUUAGGUCAACUCUGGUCAACGGUCAACGGUCAACUCGACUGGACUCGGCGAGUACCAUGGCGACUCGGCGAGUCUAGUCGUCCUCACAGAUUCCUGAAUAUUCCCUUUCUACUCGUCGAGUAUACCUCUUGACUCGACGAGGUCCUCGUGGAAGAAUCGCGGGGCCACCCCGACUCCACUCGCCGAGUCUGAUGAACAACUCGGCGAGUCCCAGCACAUCUUCAAGCUACUCGCCGAGUCUGAAGAACAACUCGGCGAGUCCAUGCCAUGCAGACGAGUAACUGCUUCCUGAGAUAGGUCUCGUCCCGAAGUACACAUGCAUGGGACCUUCUGGACCUCUAAAGGUCCUAAUACAAGACUAUAAUCGUGGGGUAACAAGGCAUUUCUUCAUCAAAUCACUAAAUGGGUUCUAUAAACCCUAAUUUCAUAAAUACAUCAAAAUAACAGAUUUGGUCCGAGUAUUACCUGAAAACGCACUCUCUGUGUCCCCCAAAUCUCAGGACUCAAUCCUCCUUGAUAUUCCUUUAGCCAAAUCCCUCUUCUUCUUGCCUAACCAAUUCUUCCAAGUUCCAAAGCUUUCUCCCUUGCUCUAGGCGUCCACAGCGAUUAGGGUUCCUCUCAAUUGACCAAAAGACUGAAAAUGACGGCCUAAGAGGCGUUAAAUACGAUCCAAACUGAACGGUUAGGGUUUCUGCUGAACAGCGUCGACUCGCCGAGUCCAUAUCUGGACUCGUCGAGUCCAGUCGCGGACCCGCGACCAAGUCCGCGAUCCUACUCGGCGAGUCUAGGCUCCAACUCGCCGAGUCCCCUCUUAAAUCACCCCAAAAACAUAAUUUUAAUAAUACCUGAGAUUCCGGGCUGUUACAAUUCUCCCCCACUUGGAUUAGACUUCGCCCUCGAAGUCUCAUUCUGCAAAUAGUUCCGGAUGCUGCUCCCGCAUUUCGCGCUCCGGUUCCCAAGUCAUUUCUGAUCCCUUACGGUGUUGCCAUUGAACCAACACCAGAGGUACUUCCUUGUUCCUCAGAACCUUGAUCUUCCGAUCCCUGAUAGCCACUGGUCUCUCCGCGUAAUUCAGGCUCGCAUCCACCUGAAUAUCCUCCAAUGGAACCACUGCCGACUCAUCGGCUAUGCACUUCCUCAACUGCGACACAUGAAAAGUGUCAUGGAUCUGACCCAACUCCGCUGGCAACUCCAACCGGUAGGCUACCCGACCUAUCCUUGCAAUCACACGAAAUGGCCCAAUAUACCGGGGCCCCAACUUGCCUCUCUUCCUGAACCGAAUCACUCCUUUCCAAGGAGAGACCUUCAGGAGAACGAAGUCGCCGACUUGAAAUUCAAGCUCGGAUCGGCGCCUGUCUGCAUAACUCUUCUGUCGGCUCUGGGCAGUCAAUAACCUUUGUCUCACUUGCUGAAUCUGCUCUGUCGUCUGGAGCACGAUCUCCGUGCUGCCCAUCACUCUCUGUCCCACCUCUCCCCAGCAAAUGGGGGUCCGACACCUCCUACCAUACAACAGCUCGAAAGGUGGCAUACCAAUGCUCGAAUGAUGGCUGUUGUUGUAGGAGAACUCUGCCAAUGGUAAGUACGCAUCCCAACUACCCCCGAAGUCUAACACACACGCUCGGAGCAUGUCCUCCAGUGUCUGAAUUGUCCGCUCGCUCUGACCGUCUGUCUGGGGAUGGUAUGCGGUACUAAAAUGCAAUUUAGUACCCAGCUCCUCAUGGAAUUUCUUCCAGAAUCUGGAAGUAAAGCGCACAUCACGGUCUGACACAAUCGAGAUCGGCACCCCGUGCCGAGAUACCACCUCUCUCACGUAUAUCUCCGCCAAUUUCUCCGCCGAAGAACUCUCACUGAUGGCAAGGAAGUGUGCACUCUUUGUCAACCUAUCCACGAUCACCCAAAUUGCGUCAACUCCCCUAGCAGUCCUCGGCAAUUUGGUGAUAAAAUCCAUAGUAAUCUGUUCCCACUUCCACUCGGGGAUCUCCAAUGGCUGUAACUUGCCAUGCGGUCUCUGGUGCUCAGCCUUAACCCUACGGCAGGUCAAGCACCUCUCAACGAACCAUGCCACGUCCCUCUUCAUACAGGGCCACCAAUAUUCCUUCCUUAAAUCCAAAUACAUCUUUGUAGCACCGGGAUGGAUCGAGAAUUUCGAUCUAUGAGCCUCUUCCAUCAACGUAAUACGCGUACCGCCCACGAACGGUACCCAAAUCCGACCCUGAAACGUCAUAAGGCCUCGACUAUCCUUGACAAACUCUGAGAUUAACCCCACAACCCGCUCUUUCUUCUGCAUUUCUGGUCGCACAGCCUCCGCCUGGGCCCCACGAAUAGCGUCCAAUACUGGAGUCAUCACAGUCAGUCUCAAGCAUACGUCUCGCAAUGGAGUGCUCUCCGCCCUGCGGCUCAAUGCAUCGGCUACCACAUUAGCCUUGCCUGGGUGGUACAGGAUCUCACAAUCAUAAUCCUUGACCACAUCCAACCACCUCCUCUGACGCAUAUUUAGGUUGGGUUGAUCCAUCAAAUACUUCAAACUCUUAUGGUCCGUGUAUAUCGUACAUCGAACCCCAUACAAGUAGUGACGCCAAAUCUUGAGAGCGAACACUACUGCCCCCAACUCUAAAUCAUGCGUGGGAUAUCUCGCCUCAUGAGGCUUCAGCUGCCUCGACGCAUAAGCUAUCACAUGACCCCUCUGCAUUAACACUGCACCCAAUCCCGAAAUCGAUGCGUCGCAAUAUACCACGAAAUCUUCCAUCCCUUCUGGAAGAGCUAAUACCGGGGCUUCGCACAAUCUCUGGCGAAGUGUCUCAAAGGAGGUCUGCUGCUCGGGCCCCCAUGAGAAUGCAACACCCUUCCGGGUCAAUCUGGUGAGUGGCACUGCGAUCUUGGAGAAAUCCUUGAUAAAUCUCCGAUAAUACCCUGCCAACCCAAGGAAACUUCUGAUCUCAGAGGGUGACUUCGGCACCUCCCAACUCAUCACCGCCUCAACCUUGGCCGGAUCGACCAAUAUCCCUUUCUGAUUAACCACAUGUCCUAGAAACUGGACUUCCCGCAACCAGAAGUCACAUUUGGAGAACUUUGCAUAAAGCUUCUCCGACCUCAAUACCUCCAGGACCUCCCUCAAAUGCUCCUCAUGCUGCUCUCUAGAUCUCGAAUACACCAGAAUGUCGUCGAUAAAUACAAUCACUGACCGAUCCAACAUCGGCCUGCAUACCCUGUUCAUGAGAUCCAUGAACACAGCCGGGGCAUUGGUGAGUCCAAAAGGCAUCACCACAAACUCAUAAUGCCCAUAUCGCGUCCUAAACGCUGUCUUCUGGACGUCCUCAUCCCGUACUCUCACCUGAUGGUAUCCUGACCUCAGAUCGAUCUUGGAAAACCAAGAUGCUCCCUGCAACUGAUCGAAUAAAUCAUCGAUCCUCGGCAACGGGUAACGGUUCUUGACCGUUAGCUUGUUCAACUCCCGGUAAUCAAUGCACAUCCGGUGUGAACCAUCCUUCUUCUUGACGAACAGAAUAGGUGCUCCCCAUGGCGAGCUGCUCGGCCGAAUGAAUCCCUUUCCCAGCAACUCCUGGAGUUGCGAGGACAACUCUUGCAUCUCUGGAGGUGCAAGACGAUAGGGCACUUUAGCAAUAGGCGCUGCCCCCGGAACCAGAUCGAUACUAAACUCUACUUGCCUCACAGGCGGUACUCCCGGCAACUCCUCGGGAAAGACAUCUGAAAACUCGCGCACCACCGGAACUUCCUCAACUGACUUCGGUUUCUCAGAAACCUCCCGCGUAUCCAUCACAUACGCCACGAAACCCUUACAGCCCUGACGUAGACACUGCCUCGCCCUAGCGGCCGAACAAAAAGCUGAUCCCGAACGGGUACCCUCGCCGUAUACCGAAAGAACUCCCCCACUUGGGUCUCGUAUAGUCACCAACUGACGCUCACAGUCGAUGACAGCGCCGAACCGGCUCAACCAGUCCAUGCCCACGAUGACACAGACAUCCCCCAUCGCGAUAGGAAUCAGAUCAAUCGGGAAUCCAACCCCGAAAAUCUCUAGUACACAUCCCCGAAGAACCUCCGUAGCACAAAUCACCUUCUCGUCAGCUAUAGAGACUCUCAAAGGUCGACUCAACGACUCACGACUAACGCCAAUAUGCUGACUAAAGGCCAAGGACACAAAGGACCUACUCGCACCCGAGUCAAAUAACACUAAGGCAGGCACAGAGUUCACAAGGAAAGUACCUACGCGCAUAACAACAUAAGCAUAACAUAUCGACAUUAAAAUAAUUACAUGAAUUACAACAUACCUGCCACAACAUCGGGCGCAGCGCGGACCUCUUCCGCUGUCAGCUGAAAGGCUCUUCCCCGAGCCCUCGGGGCCUCGGCCUUCACCGGUCGAGUCGCAGUAACUCCGGCAGCAGGUGCAGAUCCCUGAAGAAGCUGAGGGCACUCGGCCUUCCUAUGGCCAGUCUGGUUGCAAUGAAAGCAAACCGAAAAUCCCUUGGGGCACUCCCUAGCAAUGUGCCCCUCCUUGCCACACUUGUAGCAAGCACCAGAUCGACAUACUCCAUCAUGACUCUUGCCGCACUUCCCGCAAGUGCGACCCUUCGAACCUCCUGUCCUCGAAUCAGCGGACUUGGUCCGCUUGGCUGCCGGCUGGAACUGAGCCGGUCGCCGAUCCACCCGCUGAGACUCGGCCUCCUCCCUAGCCUGGGUCUCCAACUCGAUCUCGCGCUUCCUGGCAUUCGCCUGAAGCUCAGCAAAAGUAUGGUAAGUGGAGUUUGACACAAACUCCCGAAUAUCCCUCCUCAAGACACCCAAGUAUCGGCUCAUCCGAGCCUGCUCUGAGGACACCAGCUCAGGGCAAAACAUCGCCCUCUCAUGAAACUUCCGUGUAAUCACCGCAACAGAAUCGGUACCCUGCUUGAGGGUUAAGAACUCCUGCACCAAUCGUUCCCUCUCCACCGGGGGAACGUACUCAUCCCUGAACAUGGCAGUAAACCCCUCCCAUGUCACCGCUGUAGUCUCUGCCAAAGUGAAAUUCGCUGUCACGAACUUCCACCAGUCCUUCGCUCCCAGACGGAGCUGGUUCAAAGCGAACCGUACCCUCAGGUGCUCCGGGCAUGAACAAGUAUAGAAGCACCCCUCUAUAUCUGCGAUCCACCUCAUCGCAGCAAUCGGAUCCUGCGUCCCAUCGAACUCUGGUGGCUUCGUGUUGCUGAACUCUCGGAACAGCAAUGAAUCACCCCCCUGUGGCCUAGCAGCGGCCACAGCUGCGGUAGCUGCAGCGGUUGCAGCCUCAGUCAAUGCGGCGUACCGCUCGUCGAACGUCUCCAUCAGGGUGGUCUUGAUAGACCCAAACAUCUCCGGGAUCUCAGCCCGGAUCGCCGCCGCCACCUCCUCGUGGAUCAUCUGACGAAUAUCCUCGUCACUCACACCGCUCGUACUUGCCCCGUGCCGCGGUCUAACCAUGAUAUCUCUGAAAUACAACAUAAAACUAUCAGAGAUUCUACCGAGUAUAAUCGUACUCGACACGCAACCCUACUCAGUCCCAGAUAUCCAGGGAUUCUUACUUGGGCCUCCCACUGACCCGGUGUCCUCGGUAGUACGGGCCCAAUACUACCGACCACACCGCAUCAAUGUUCAUCCCAAGUCCUCCUCCCCAAACUCCAGAUAGUGAGUACUCUACUUCUGAUACGCUCUAUCUACCCGCAUACUAGCAAAGCAUCUCAUAUAAGCAACUUCCCUAGACUAAGGCAUCACAAAUCAGGCCACUCUAGUCCUAUCAUGAAUACCUAGUCUUCUAGCAUGCAUAACAAUUCAUAUCAUAUAAUAUUGUAAGGUAUUUUGGGGAUCUUUACCGUUCGGGCGCUGACUGAUCGUACACACUGCUUCUUUCUUGCUUACCACAAAACCAUUUACAAAAGUUUAUGCCUUUAUUUGAAAAGUUUUCUCAAAUCCUCGGUUUGAGUUCAGUUACCCCCGAAGGUGCACCCGAAUCCCUCAAACCAAGGCUCUGAUACCAAUUGUAACAACUCAAAUUUUUCAAACAAAUUUUUCAUUUUUAAAACAUAAUUAUUUCCAUUAAAAACAAGGCAUAAACAGUUCAAUUAUUCGGUCAAUACAAUUAUUCAAACUCCCAAGAUCAUAAAACAAUCUUCAGUGUGUAUCGAUCAUGCCGGCGCCUUCCCACGGUCCUCACUAGUACCUGAAAUACAUGCACAACAACUGUAAGCAUAAAUGCUUAGUGAGUUCCCCAAUAUACACUUACGCACAUACGCCUUUCCAGGCCCUGACCUUCCGGUCCUCAUUACAACGCCUUCCGGCCCAUAACAUAAUCGCCUUCCGGCCCAUAACAUAUUGCCUUCCGGCCCACAUAUCAUACAUAGCACAUAUAACAAUUAACUUACCACAUAUAGCAUACAUAUCACAUAACAUAUCCGACCUUCCGGUCACACAGUCAAACCCUUCCGGGUACAGUAUAGUGAGAAGACUCACCUCGUAAAUGCUGAAAGCUAGCAACUCCUGAAAUCACUCGUGCACAAUCCGACGAGCUACAACCUUCCUAUAACAUCACAUAUCUCAUUAACACUUAUAACUUCUAAGGGUGACUAUCCCUAAGAAGUCAGACUUAGGUCAACUCUGGUCAACGGUCAACGGUCAGCUCGACCGGACUCGGCGAGUACCAUGGCGACUCGGCGAGUCUAGACGUCCUCCAACUUUCUGAGAUUCCUUAUCUACUCGUCGAGUACCCUCCUCGACCCGACGAGUUACUCCUGGAAGAAUCGCGGGGCCACCCCGACUCCACUCGCCGAGUCUGAAGAACAACUCGGCGAGUCCCAGUAAAUCUUCAAGCUACUCGCCGAGUCUGAAGAACAACUCGGCGAGUCCAUGCCAUGCAGACGAGUAACUGCUUCCUGAGAUAGGUCUCGUCCCGAAGUACACAUGCAUGGGACCUUCUGGACCUCUAAAGGUCCUAAUACAAGACUAUAAUCGUGGGGUAACAAGGCAUUUCUUCAUCAAAUCACUAAAUGGGUUAUAUAAACCCUAAUUUCAUAAAUACAUCAAAAUAACAGAUUUGGUCCGAGUUAUUACCUGGAAACGCACUCUCUGUGUCCCCCAAAUCUCAGAACUCAAUCCUCCUUGAUAUCCCUUUAGCCGAAUCCCUCUUCUUCUUGCCUAACCAAUUUCCAAGUUCNNNNNNNNNNNNNNNNNNNNNNNNNNNNNNNNNNNNNNNNNNNNNNNNNNNNNNNNNNNNNNNNNNNNNNNNNNCUCGCCGAGUCCAUAUCUGGACUCGUCGAGUCCAGUCGCGGACCCGCGACCAAGUCCGCGAUCCUACUCGGCGAGUCUAGGCCCCAACUCGCCGAGUCCCCUCUUAAAUCACCCCAAAAACAUAGUUUUUAAUAAUACCUGAGAUUCCGGACUGUUACACUCCAGCCUGAUCUAGCUCGUUGGACCCUUUAGUCUGGUCUAAAUCGUUGGACCCUCCGACCCGGUCUAAUAUCACAUAGCAUACAUAAAUCACAAUGCACGUAAUCUCAAGCAAGCACAUAACACAUAAGACCCUCCGGUCUGCACAUAGAUACCACUCUAGGUAAUUUAUAGUGAGAAGACUCACCUCGUAAGAUGUCUAGAAAACUCUCGUGCUCGAAUCCCCGAUCUAGCCUCCGCCUAUCAAAAUGAUAACAACUCUAAUCAAUACACUCCUUACAUUCUCCUCUCCAAGAAUGGGUAGAAGACUAUUCUACCCCUCCCCAACCUCUCUUAAAUCAGUUUGACAAACCCUAAGGUCAACUGAAGUCAACUCAGUCAAUGGUCCAACUUUGACCAGACUCCCUGAGUGCACUUGGGUGACUCGGCGAGUCCAUGCGUGUCCUCUGACUCCUCCUAAGGCCUCACUCGACUCAUCGAGCUAACCUCUCAACUCAACGGGUUACCAUUGGUCACGAAUCGUAGGGCAACCCGAUCCGACUCGUCGAGUCCUCUCAAGGACUCAACGAGUUUCCUCUAUGACAUUACUCAUUUGAUCUUCUAGGGCUAGAUCUGUUUCUCUAACUUAUAGAUCUGGCCUUCUAACACCCAAAAAUCACGUAAAGGUCUGAUCUUGGUGUUCAUGCAUGUUGUAUCUUGCAUUAUAUACCAUAAAAACUGAUAGCUUCAUUUUAUUUACUUCUUUUUAUAGUUUAUUUUAGCACAUUUCAUUCGCAUUUUAGUUAAUUUCCAUGCAUAUUUUCCCUUUUGUUAUUUUUAUGACCAUUUCGGGGUACUUUCUAGUUUCUUGAGCAUUAUUGCAGAUUUUCUUGGAGACUAGCUGAGCGGGACUCUUGGGAGGCGAUUGGGCUUGAAGGGAAAUGGGGAUUUCGUGCUUGAUGGCUAUGGAGGUGAUUCAUGGAGUGGACUUGUCAAUUGCUUGAAGGCUUGGAAGUGUUGAACUUUAAAUUUGAAAGGCACGGGAAAAUUCUUGAGUGUGCAAGAUCGAUGUUUAGGAGUUUGCGGAAGUUCUGAGUGAUGUGGAAAGACAAAUUGGGCUCAAAUUGAAGAAAUAUUGAAGANGCUAUUUGAGGAAGGUUGGUGCCCAUCUUUUGGAGACUCUUGGACAUCCGAUUUUUGGAGAUUCUCUCUGGAGUUUUGAAGACUUUUGAAGGCCAAGAACACUUGAAGAACAUCAUAUUUUUACCUCUUGAUUCUUGCUUAAUGUUUGGUACAAUUUUCUCUAACUUUGUUUCUUUGGGUUUAGCCAUGCUUGGCUAAACUAAUCUUGGUUGACUUUUGGUUAAUCCUUUGAACUUUUGUUGAAUGUUGAAGAAUCCAUGAACAUGUUCUUAAAUCUUUAUGGGAAUGUUUUGUGUUUUAACAUCUUAUCACUACUUGUAUGUUUUAAUUCAUGAGUUUAAAUGUGUUUGUGGUGAUUAGUUGGCUAAUUUCUUGAUUGAGUAAAGGAUCCUCAAAUUAGCAAGCAACAAAUGAUUUUUGUGUUGUUUUUGCUUCGCACAAUCAUAAAAACAUUUCCUCCAACAUGGUGGUGAAAGCAUUUGACCCCUCUUGGAUUUGGUGACUUUUUGGUUCUUAAUGCUAGUUGACUUUCACUAAUUACAUGCUAUUUGGAAUUAGUGACUUUGACUAAGGAAAUUGUUAUGAGCUUCUCUAGCCAUUUCAACAAUUAAGAAAAGUCUAGGUAAUCUCAAGCUCCUUGGAUUACUAUAGCCAAAUUAAGGAUUUAAAUCAAAGUAUUGCACCAUUGGAUUCUAAUGAUAUGUUCAUCAAAAGUCAAAGUGAGGAAACUUUAAGUCAACCAUCUCUCCCUUAUUGAUUUUACAUCAAACUCUUAUUUUUGUUGCAUUUGUCUAUUUAAAUCAUAGUUAAUUCUAGUUUGUUUCAAGUAUUUCAAAACAUCAAAACCCCCCAUUUUAUUUUUAUUGUCAUUUUACAAGUAUUUUUACAAAGAGAUUUUUCAUAGAGUUAUAAAUUGAACCAAUCUCCGUGGAUUCGAUCCCUUUACCACUAUACAUUAUUUUAGUGUGUAAUAUUUAGGGUUAUUAUUUGUGUUGGCCUCGACAACCACCAGAAACCCCAUUAUUUCUUCCUAGCUUCAAACCCUAAGGUUUACUCUACUAAGGCUUCAUACUUCGGGCUUUCUGGACCUAGAAGGGUCCAAAUCUAUAACAUAAACUUGCAAGAGGGGUUUGAGGCACUCCAAACCCCAAAAAUAAAGUGAUUCAAGCCCUAAUCCCAAAAAUGGAAUCCACACAAUAGGGAAGAAAAGGGGUUCGAUUUGAUACCUCAUAAUGAAGCUCCUUGCUUGAAUAACUCAGAACAACAACCUCCUCUGGUCCCUCUUGUUGGAACUCUUCUCCUCUCUUGCAAAAUCACACCAAAUAGCUCAAGAUAGCUCUUUCUAUCACUUUACACACUCAAGCUCGCUAGGGUUCUCUCUUUUGGAAAGGUAGUCGCAAUUGAAGGCCAGAAGUGCCUUUAAAUAGGGCUCGGGCCCGAAAAUUUAGGGUUUCUAUCAACAGCGCGGACUCGUCGAGUCGACUCACGACUCGUCGAGUUCAUUCAUUAAUCUGAGUCAUCAGUCUCGACCUUACUCGACGAGUUGAGGCGUCAACUCGUCGAGUCACUCUUCAUAUCUCAAAAUAAAUACUCAAAUUGUCAUACCUGGAAAUCCGGAUGUUACAUGAUGACGCUUGGAAAGAAAAAAAUUUCUUCAUGAGGCGCGAUUCGGUUCCUAAGGGGGAUUCCCUGCCAAGAUCAUGGGUUAAAUUAGCUAGCCCGAAUCUGCGGGUGUUACAAAUUACAUAUAUGGGACUUGUACCACAUAGGAAGAAGAGAAAACCUUGUCCCACAUAGGAAGAAUAGAAAACAUUGUCCCGCUUUAUAAGAUUUUUUCCUACUCAUUUAAUCAAAUAGACUAUCUAAUGCGGUAAGCAUCUUGGGUUUGGAUUGUGGUGUUGGACUAGUCAUAUUGAGUUAGAAAAGGGUUGGAUUUAUUAUAUGUAUUAAUGGUUAAAGAUAGGGCCUUGGAGCUCUUGGGAUCUUCUUGAGUACAUAAUGUAUUUUUGUUAUUAUAAAUCUAAAAUUAAUUAUUUAGUUAAUUUUUAUUUAUUAUAUUAUGUUAGUUAGUGAAUUAACCGUGUGAUAGUUUUAACAGUUAUUUUCGGUUGGUGGUUUACAACCAUCAUUAGAAGCCCAUGAAUACAUCAAGAUUGACAGAAUUCGGAGGCUAAUGAAACACACAUAUACUCCACUUAAAAUCAUUUUUGAUGCAAAAUGGGAGCAUGGUUGUUUUUGACAUAUUCAAUAUCUGUUCUGAGAUGAUUAUGUGGAUAUACAGAUCGUCAAAAUAAGAGUCUGUAUGAGAAAGUUAUAACCCUUUGAAGUUUAGAUAAAAGUAUGUACGUUGUUGUUUUGAGAAAAGUCAACGAAAGUCAAAGUCAAACGGUUAAAUCUCAAGUCAACACGAUGAGGAGGAUCGACUUACGCGAUAUGUAGGUAAGCAGAGUCACGAGACAUGUAUCAAUCAUUGAAGGACACAUGGCGGAAGGAGAAGACACAUGUCGAGAUCUCGGAUAACAGACAUUUUGUGGCACGACUUGGAGCGUGCUGCGGUGCAUUUUUCAAUUAGUAUAUAUAGUUUGAGUUUGUGUCAUUUGAUGAGUUUUGGCACGUACGAUCGGGGAAGAGGCUUGGGAGGUGUUUCCGGAGAAUUAUUACCGUAGAGUCGUACUAGCUUAUGGUGAUACGAGGGUUGAGUUAUGAGAUUAGGUAUCUUUUACCCCGUUAUUACCUAAUUACGUUUAUGUGAUAUUUCGUAGAGGGUCUAACGACCAUGGGUAUACGUUAUGGGAUUUCGUGAUAUGGUGCUAUUACGAACCCGAAAAUUUGUUAAAUGUUAAUCUGGUCAUUAUGGGUUAAAUAUCCUAAUUUAAUGAGAUUUUUCGAUUGGGUUAACAACUUGCGGGGUUAAGUCGCUAGGUGAUUGUAUUUGAAAACUUGAAUAAUUUGGUGAAAAAUGGUUACCGAGUCUGGUUAGUGAUCAAGUAUUUGAUCAUUGUGGUUGAUAUUAAACAGGUUUUAAUGACCUUGAUAUAUUGUCCAAAUAGGUUUGGACAAGUGAUGAAUUGGAAGUCACAGAUAUAGAUGCCAGAAUAAUAGUUAGUCUUCACUAACUAACCAAGUGAGUAACUUUACCUUUCUUUAGAUUAAUGAUAUAUAGAUAUGUGAUAAUUAUUUUGUAUGUUCAUGGUAGAGUAUAAUAUCUGAAUUAUUAUUUAUUAAUAUUGUAUGAGUCGAGGAUUUGCAAUAAUUGAGAAUUAUAGUUGUCUCCUGCUAUACAAGUCAUUAAAUAAAGUAAUUGAAAAUUAUAGUACUUUAUUACUAUUUGAGUAAACAGGCGAGUAUAACUGAGAUACAUAGUGAGGUAAAAUAUUCAUUUAAAUUAACAAUUAUAAUNUAUAUUAAUAAUUUACUUAAAAUAAUUUAUCAAUAAUUAUUAGUUUUUUUUGUAAAGGCUUAAUUUAUUUUAUAACCCAAGGUUGUCAAGAUCGGGAUCCUAUCUAGGAUUGUUUUUGGGUUUGCAAGAUCGGGAUCCUAAGAUCCCACAAUAAGUUGAUUUAAAAGUCGGUGUUCCUAUUAUGUUACUAAGAAAUAUCGAUCAGAAAAAUAGGUUAUGUAAUGGUACUAGACUUCAGGUGGCAUCAUUGGGUAAUCGCGUCAUAGAAACAAUGGUCUUAACUGGAAGUAACAUUGGACAUCGAGUUUUUAUUUCAACGUUGUCUUUAACACCUCCAGAUAGCAAAAUUCCAUACAAGUUUAAAAGAAGACAAUUUCCCUAAGAGGUUUUUUUGCUAUGACCAUAAAUAAAAGUCAGGGCCAAUUGUUGAAAAGGAUUGGGUUGUUUUUGCGAGAAUCGGUUUUCUCAUAUGGUCAGUUAUAUGUUGCUUUAUCUAGAGUAAAGAGCAAAGAAAAAUUGAAGUUAUUGAUUUUAGAUAAAUAUAGUAAUUUAACUAAUAAAACUUCCAAUUUUGUGUUCAAGGAAGUAUUUUAAAAUCUUUGUUGACGUUUUAUGUUUAUUUUUUUAAAUCAAAUAAAGUUGUACUUACUUACCAUUCACAAUCAAAUGUUUUUUUACAUUUAUUAAUUUUUUUGGUUUAUAUAAAAUUUUUAACUUAUUUCCUAUGAGUUAUAAGCUCGAAAAUAAAACAAAAGGUUAAAAGUACUAUUUUAUAUUAUAUGAAUAUGAAAACAGAUAGUAAUAGUAUUUAAUUUUUAUAACUUGCUGACGCCAUCAACUAAUUUUAGGAAUAUAAAUAUAAAUAAUCGAAUAUUAUAUUGCAAGGUCUUUUUCGAGUGAAAAAGAGAACUGAAUCUCUUCAAUUAUUCUCGUGUGCCCAUUCACGAAGGUUUUCUUCCCCAUCCCCUCUUUCAAACCCUUGCAGAGAAGGUAUGAGAAUCUUUCUCACUUUUCAUGCAUCCUUCUUUACAGAUGUCAUUAUAUGCAUGAUACUUUGUUGUAAGCAAAAUGCAUUUGAGGCAUCUUUUCGAUUAAUUUCACAUUUGGGUUUUUUUUUUUGACAGAAUUCGCAGUUUGGAUUGAUCAUCGGGAAAGGAAAACCCUAAGAAUCGACGGAGCUAGGUUUUUUUCUCACUUGGUUAGUCUCUGAAAAUUUCCUCUUGUUUUGUUUGUCUGCAUGUCUAGAUAUAUAAUUUCGUUAGCGUUUGCUCUUAUCUUUCGAGGAUUUGCAAAUCAGAUCUUCAGAAUUGGGUUUUUUUUAGUCGGCACAAUCGAUGAAUUUCAUUUUGCAUUUGCUAAUUUGAGGUUAAAGGAAUCCUGCUUUCUAGACAUGAGAUUCCUUCGCGUGAUGGUUUCAAUAAUAUUAUGUUUUCCAUUUCAGUUUUAAGGGUCUAUUGCUCGAUGCAUGUUUCUGUUUAACUUUAGACAGGAAAAAUCAGCUUUUGUAGGUUUUACACAAGAGUUUAAAAGCUUACCUCGUAAGAUGUUCAUAAGAACACUCACUAAUCACAAAAUGUCCCAACAAAUCUCAAUAUCACCAAAAUUAUGUUCUUGAUUUAUCAAAUUUGCAUUACAUUCUCACACAACACACAACCUGCAACUUCCAUCUCUACCAUUUACAAGAAAACCAACAUGUUGAGCUUAUAGAUUCUAGUUACUUUUCACAAAUUGUUACAAAUUACAACAAUUUCUUGAUCUGAUUAGAUAUGGAGGGAUCAGGCCAUGGAACAAGCAGUGUAGACAUGUUCUUGAGGAACUACAAGCUUGGAAAAACACUUGGGAUUGGUUCAUUUGGAAAGGUGAAAAUUGCAGAACAUGCUUUAACAAGGCACAAAGUUGCCAUAAAGAUCCUCAAUCGUCGCAAGAUAAAAAACAUGGAUAUGGAAGAAAAAGGUAAAUAACUAAAAUUAUUGUAUUUACAUCUCAUCAUCUUCAAUAUCUUUCUCACCAUAUAACAACAUCUUUCUACAGUUAGAAGAGAGAUCAAGAUCUUAAGAUUGUUCAUGCAUCCACAUAUCAUCCGUCUUUAUGAGGUUAUAGAAACACCCUCAGAUAUUUAUGUUGUUAUGGAGUAUGUGAAAUCGGGUGAGCUUUUUGAUUACAUUGUGGAAAAGGGAAGGUUACAAGAAGAUGAAGGGAGGAAUUUCUUUCAACAGGUGAAUUAAAACAUUCGAUUGUUACAUACUUACAUUAACUGUUUGAGUGUUUUCUUAAUUUUUUAUAGCAUAAUUUCGUUUUCUUUGAAGCAGAUAAUAUCAGGUGUUGAAUAUUGCCAUAGGAACAUGGUUGUUCAUAGAGAUCUUAAACCUGAAAACCUUUUGUUAGAUUCAAAAUGCAAUGUGAAAAUUGCUGAUUUUGGUUUAAGUAAUAUCAUGCGUGAUGGACAUUUUCUUAAAACAAGUUGUGGAAGCCCAAAUUAUGCUGCUCCUGAGGUAUGGAUUUAUGGGGUUUAAAGAAAAUUAAGAAAAGUAAUUUUUUUUUUUUAAUGUUUAUGAUUUUGUGUUGUGUUUUUACUUUUUAGGUUAUAUCUGGGAAGCUGUAUGCUGGACCUGAAGUUGAUGUGUGGAGUUGUGGUGUUAUUUUGUAUGCUCUUUUAUGUGGGACCCUUCCUUUUGAUGAUGAAAAUAUUCCUAACCUCUUCAAGAAAAUUAAGGUACAUUUAUAAAUUUAUAACAGUUUAUAAAAACACCUAUAAUAGUAAUAGAAUAAUAGUAAAGCUUAUUUAUGCCACAUCAGCUUCAACUCAUCCAAAAACCUCAAGAUAUGUCCAUUAUAGUAAAACUUUUUUUUUUCUCUAAGCUUAUUUAUAUCAUUACAAAUCUAUAUAAUUGAAAAUUUAAAAUAAAAAUAAAAAUUAUUUUCCAGGGUGGAAUAUAUACCCUACCUAGUCACUUAUCACCUGGAGCAAGAGAUUUAAUUCCAAGAAUGCUUGUGGUGGACCCCAUGAAGCGAAUAACUAUUCCUGAAAUCCGUAUGCACCCGUGGUUCCAAGCCCAUCUCCCGCGUUAUCUGGCGGUCCCACCACCCGAUUCCAUGCAACAAGCGAAAAAGGCAAAAUUACAAAAAUACCCUUUUGGUUCUUUAUUAAUUACAUGGGCGUUUAAGUAAUUGUGCGUUUUUACUUUCUACAGACGGAUGAAGACAUUCUUUUAGAGGUGGUUAAGAUGGGAUUUGAUCGCGAUACCCUCAUUGAAUCCCUUCGCAACCGAGUGCAAAAUGAGGUAUAAAUUGUUAUUUAUUUAUUUAUUUUUAAAUUUAAUGGAUAUGAUUUUUGUUUAUUUAUUUAUUUAUAGUUAUUGUUUAUUUUAUGUAGGGUACAGUGGCGUAUUAUUUGCUUUUGGACAAUAGGUUUCGUAACUCGAGUGGCUAUCUUGGAGCUGAAUUUCAAAAACCCUUGGUUAGUUUUUUUUUUUUUUUUUNUUUUUUUUUUUUUUUUUUUUUUUUUUUUUUUUUUUUUAAGAAUAUGACAAAAUAGGGCAGCUUGUACCUGGGGUUUAGACUGAUGUCAAUGAGACAAAAAGUACAAAAUUUGUGGUCCCACCCAAAAAGUGGGGAAAAACUACAAAACUUUUGGUUCCACCUAAAAAAUCAGACUGAUGUCAAUUGGACAAAAGCUUCAAUUUUUUUUGUUCUACCAAAAAAGGUGGGACAGACAGAUGUCAAUGAGACAAAAAUUGCAAAUUUUUUGGUCCCACCUGAAAAGGUGCGACAGAAACUAUUGCAAAAUAAAAAAGGUGUGGAUAUUUACUCGUUUGUGUAAAAGACAAAAAUGCCCUUCUCAUAAAAAACAUCCUUAAAAAAAGUGUCAUGUUUUCUAUAAAAUGGGAAAAAAACUUUAUUUACUCGUUUGUGUAAAAGACAAAAAUGCCCUUCUCAUGAAAAAAAUCCUUAAAGAGCUUGUGGAUAUAUCUUGUUUAUGUAAAAGACAAAAAUGCCCUUCUCAUGAAAACCAUCCUUAAAAAGCUUGUCAUGUAUUCUAUAAAAUGGGAAAAAAGCUUUGUUUACUCGUAUAUAUCUAUGGUCUAUACACGUAUCAAUAUUACAUAUAUGAUAUGAUAUAUCCAAAGUUUGUGAAUUUACCGAUUUGCCCUUUUGGCUCAACAAAAAUACAGGAUGGAUUCAACCGCAUGAGUUCAAACGAAGCUCCUACUUCUCCAAUUAUGGCACAACGCCCAUCUGCUUACAUGGAUUAUCAAGGAAUGAAUAUCAGAAACCAAGUCGAAAGAAAAUGGGCUCUUGGACUUCAGGUUAAGUUUCUUGAAACAAUUAAUUAAUUAAAACAUUUUUUUUUCUUAUUGUUUUUGAUUUUUUUUUUUUUUUUUUUUUUUUUUUUUUUUUUUUUCUUUUUACAGUCUCGAGCACAUCCUCGUGAGAUAAUGACAGAGGUUCUGAAAGCUUUGCAAGAGCUGAACGUGUGUUGGAAAAAAAUAGGUCAUUACAAUAUGAAAUGUAGGUGGGUCCCGGGUGUGCCAGGUCAUCAUCAAGGCAUGGUGAAUGAUUCUAUUUCCAUGCAAAGUAAUCAUAAUUAUUUUGGAGAUGAGUUGACUAUUGUUGAAAAUGAUGGUGCGUUGACUUCCCCUAAUGUCGUCAAAUUUGAAGUCCAGGUAAUAUUUUUUAUUUUUAUUUCAGUUAUUAUUAUUAUUUUUUUUUGCAUUAAGAAUUAUUUUGUUUGGUAUGGUGGAAUCGGAAGUAUGGAAUGGAAUUGACCAUUCCCAAAGGCAUUUGAAUUCUGAUUCCUUCCAUUUUGUUAAUUUUCAUUCUGUCCUGGAUCGGAAUGAAAAUUGUAAUAUAACCCAUUUUUAUUUAAGUUUUUUUUAAGAAUUUCAUGAUAUUUAAUUAAAUGAUAAGUUUCUUUUCUAAAAAUAACUAGAAGGAAUUAUUUUUAUUAUUAUCUUAUUUGGGUUUUAAUGAGCUUUUAUUACAAUUAUGUUUUUUGUUUUGUAAAUAAUAAACUCUAUAGCUAUAAUUAAAUUGCAUAUUACUAUUAAAAGUUAAAACCAUAUAUUUAUUUUAUAUAUAAUAUAAAAUAAAAAAAUCAUAUGUAAAAGUUCAUUCCAUUCCUACAAGCCACAACCAAAUCUUUUUUUCUUAUUCGAUUAAGUAUACAAAUCUUUUUUUGAGAAUUUCACGAUUGUAAUUACAAGUUAUAAUUCUAUUUUUUACAAAUAACUAGAAAAAAGAAUACUAAUAUAUUUUAUCAUAUUCUUGUUUGGGUUUUAACAAGCAUUCAUUAUCUAUUCAAUAUAAUCCACAAUUGGAGGGGUAUGUAUUUUUGUCUCUUAACAAGACAAAAGAACAGAAUGGAAUCUCGGAUUCCGAUUCCGAGGUUCCAUCGGAAUGGAAUCUCGGAUUCCGAUUCCGACCUUACAAAAUACCAUUUCAUUAUUGCAGCUUUACAAAACUCGCGAGGACAAAUAUCUGCUUGAUCUACAACGAAUCCAGGGCCCACAGUUUCUAUUCCUGGAUCUUUGUGCUGCAUUUCUUGCUCAGCUUCGCGUCCUGUAAAACCCUAAAAAAUAAAUAUGAAGGAACACAACUACCUGCUUUCUCCUUGGAGUUGGACUCUUCCCUCCCUUGUGAAGAAAAGCUAUUAUGCUAUAAUAGACCACUGUAAUGUAAAUAUCUCUCUCUCUCUUCAUGUCUUUCUCAUUUAGGUAAGGGUAGGCGACUCUUGUGACUUGUGAGCCAAUCUUUUUGCUGACUCACUACGCCUCAAAUACCAAUCAACUUUAUUUUCUUACUUUUUAUAUCAAUGUAAAAUGAUAAUACUUUUCUAGAGUCUUUAUCAUUAUUAAUGUUGUUUAAUGCCUUUCUUUUUGUUAAAUUUAAUUUUAUGAAUGACUGAUAUAUUGAAUAGUAGUACAAAACUAUUUAAUGCAUUUCUGUUUUCUCUCAACUUGAUAACAAUAAAAAGAAUUGGAACAAAUUUGAUCAAUUUUCUCAUGAAUAAGUUGUAUUUGUGAUAAUAGGAAUCUUGUUUUUUGAUAAUAAUAUGAAGAAUAUAUCUAUAACAUUGCAAGCUAGCGUCACCAUGACACUUCACGAUAGAUGGAUAAAGCGGCUCAAGAAUCAUUUUAAUAAACAUUAAAAUUUACAUUACUAGACUUGGUAUUCUGGGUAUAGUCAUUUUAGAAACAUUUUUAAUACGUUAUUACACAGUGAAGUCUACUAAAAAACAAGAUAUAAGAAUAUCAUCAAUUAAUAUGAGGAGAAUAUUUAUUGGAAUUCGAUCAAUGACAUAAGAAAGGAGGAAUGUCAAUUAUCGGGUUCCGGAUAAUCCGGUUUUGAAUUUCUUUUAUAUUGGAAUCGGAUCCGGGUUUUGCCAUAUCGGUUGGAGAUUAUUGGAUUCCAGAAAACAUAACACACUGAGGUGUCGUUUGGUUCGCUAGAAUCCAUUGGAAUUAGAUGGAAUUGGAAUUUAAUUCCAUCACUUUCCUUUGUUUGGUUCAAGCUUUCAAAAGGAAUUGGAUUUCUAAACGAGUCAAAUUUUCCUUCUAACGAGGGAAAAUAAAUUUCAUCUAAAAAUUUAAGGAAUUAAAAUUCCUUUCAAAUGAGAAUGUUGAAUGUUACCAUAUUAUCCAUUUUAUUUUUAACACUACAUAUGAAACCUUUCUAUCGCCGCUCCCACCGCCACCUCCUCCUCCACCACCCACCACCAUCGCUACAAACCACCACCACCCACCAUCACCACCACCGGCACCUUCGUUACCGGCACCCUCCACCCAUUAGUACCGUCACCUCCACCACCGCCGACCACUCCACCGCUACCCACAACCUUAUCACCACCUCCGCUACGACCACCACCUCCUCCACCACCACACAUCACCACAGUUACCACCCGCUACACACCACCUCUUCCACCACCCACCACCGCCACAACCACCUAACACCACAACUAUCACCACUACUCUCCACCUCCACCACCAUCACCACCUCUACCACCACACUACCUUCCACCUCCACCACAACUCACCACCGUGACCAUACAAUCACUGCCACCACCACCGUCAUCACCUCCACCACCAACACCAACACCUUCGCCACCACCUUCAUCACCACCACCGUUACUACCACCAUUGCCACCUCCAUCACUACACCACCCACCAUCUCCACCACUACUCAUGACUGCCACCAUCACCAUCACAAUUACUACCACCACCAUCGUCAUCACCUCCGUCACUACCUACCAUCACCUCCGUCGCCAUCAUCAUCACUAUUUCCACCAUCAACAUCAUUGGCACAUUCUGCGAACCAAACGCCACUUGACUUUUUUUUUUCCGGAUUUUGGAUGGAAAUUAUAGGAUUUUUUUUGGAUAAAAAAACUAUUACCAAAAUCGGAUUUCAAUUUUCAAGGUAUUUGAUUCAAAAAGGUAGAUGUUAUUAUCCGUAUCCAAUUCAAAACUGUCUAAUCUUAUUAUUUGAACCCAGUUUUAAAAAAACUCGGAUUGGAUUGAAUUUCAAAAUUCUGAACAAGUUUUUUGUGUACCUACCUCAAUGUUAAAGAAUAAAGGAAUAAUUGUUUGAGAUUUUAUUGUUCAUGAAAAAUAGUAAUGUAUUCGGGCUUAAGAAAAAGACUAGUCUAUAUCCUUAAUUGGAAUUAAGACCGAAAGAUAACUCAUUAGUUAAAAGGAAAAAUAGUUUAUUUAUUGGGAAAAUCCUUAAUUGGAAUUAAGACCGAAAGAGAACUCAUUAGUUAAAAGGAAAAAUAGUUUAUUUAUUGGGAAAAUACUGGCUAUAGACAUUUUUGGGGUUAAAUUCCAAAAUAUAGAUACAAAAAAUUGGAUUUCUGAGUAUAGACAUGGAUUUCGCAGAGCUAUGCUCUGAGGGCUCUGUGGAAUCCCUGUAGCUCUGCGGAAUGACAAAAUCGUAAAUAAAUCAGAGUUAAAAAAAAAAAAGAAAAAAAAAACCUCAAGAUCCAUUCCGCGGAGCUACUUCCGAGGAAUGAACUCAUUCCGCGGAGCUACCAUCGAGGAAUGAACUCAUUCCACGGAGGUAGCUUCGAUGAAUGGAUCUUUAGAAAAAAAAACCACCUCCAAUCAGUGACAGAUCCAGCCCGGAAGUCAAGUGGGGUGCACAUUGACCGUUGACCGAAAGUCAACUGGCGGAUCCAUGAUAGUCCCUGUUAUUCUAUUAAUCAUAUGUUAUUCCUCUGUUUAAAUUAGGAAUGGCAAUGGGUAGCGGGGCAUGCAAUCCCUUCCCCGGACCCAAAACUGAAAAUUGUUCCCAUCCAGGCUAAAAUCUUCCCGGAAACCAGAUUUCGUUACUCAACCAAUAUAGUAAAAAUCAGUUAGAAAAACAAAAUUUUAUUGGUUAAAAACAAUUUAAACUUAGUUUUUCAAUCCGUCACCCAUUUUUCUAAUAACUAAACAGUAUAGCUUAGAAUUUAUAUAACUAAUGGGUAAAACAAAUUAUACCUGUCCACUAAUACAAUCAUCAUCCCUAAAUGUUUGUUUGCUGAAUUAAACUGAUAGUAAUUAUAUUAACUAGUGGACUAAAAUAAUGAAGCGAAACAUAAUUGGAUUUAUAUAUAAGAUAUAUGUUCGAUAUAGUGUACAUGUCUAUUUUACACAAGACCCAUUUAGAUAUGUCCUUGCAAUUAAUCCGAUUAUUUUAAGCCCAAAGCCCAAGUAAACUCAAUCAUAUAACAUAAACCUAAUUCCCAAUUAUGAAACCGAAUCAAAGAAAAUAAAGAGUGUACAUCUCAUACAACAACUUUUCCAUCUCCGACCAUGUUUUCCUUCACGGCGACAAAGUCUAAGUCGGGUGGAAAGCUUGACUCAAACACCUAUGCGACUCCUCACCUACAUCCAUUUAUUCGCCGGAGAAAGCCAUGAGCACCAACAAUAGGCGACAUCCCUUCACACUGAGUUCGCUGGAAAGUUAGUGUUUAUGUAACGACCCAAUUUUCAAGACCAAAAAUUUCAUUUUUAAGUAAUUGACUUGUAAGAACAUUUAUAAGAAAACACCAUCUAAUCAUAACUUUUCGUAAAACCACAACUCAUUUCUGAAAACCAUUCACCAAAAUAAGAAUAAUGUCAGAGUACAAUCCCAAGAAACUCUAUUCCACCCCCUACUGCUACUAUCACAUAUAUCAUAACAUAAACAUAUUAUUAGACAUAUCUGGGGUGUCCGAACUACCCUUCGGUCCUAAGAACCGAACUUGGGGACUUUUCCCCUCCUACUACCACUAUCACAUAUAACAUAUCAUGCCAGCAUAUAAACAUAUCAUCACAUACUUUCAGACAUAUCUGGGGUGUCCGAACUACCCUUCGGUCCUAACAACCGAACUCUACUACUAUCACAUAUAACAUAUCAUGCCAGAAUAUAACAUAUCAGGUAGUAGCAAACCUAGAUGAAUAUCACAAAUACAAUCAUCUAACAUACAACUCCUACUGGUGGGCCGACAUUGUGGUCGUAGACCCACCGCUACCGGAAGGUAACUCACCUCGAACACGUAGCUACUGAUAACGCGUGUGGGGAGUCUCUGUCUGCUGCUGCUCCAGAAAUCCACCAGCUACAAUCCCCACAAACACUUAGUCAGAAAGUGACAUCUACUCUUAGGGUAAAAUGACUAUUCUACCCCCAAUCAAGUCCAAGUCAAAGUCAACUUCAAGCUGACCCGACUCGCCGAGUUGGACCGUCAACUCAUCGAGUCCCUAACCCUUUACUCGUCCUCACCCAUGACUCGAAUCGUUGAGUUUGGCGAUGAAUCGACGAGUUCCUCUUCUAUAAGAACAUCGAAUGAUCCUUCAUCCGACUCACUGAGUUGUAUGAACAACUCGUCGAGUUCAUCUUCAAACUUAAGGAGAUUGCCUUGGACUCGCCGAGUCUGAUCUAGCACUCGUCGAGUCCCAUGAACUCCAGGUCUAAAACUAAGUCCAAUGCGCUGGUUCACUCUUUCAGUCCUGCUACAACCCCUCUAACACCCAAUUGAGUCCUUUUGACCCUCAACAGGUAUGGGACCCAAAGCCUUGGACUCGUCGAGUCCCAAGAACGGACUCGCCGAGUCGAUAACGUCCAAGCUCUAUUUCCUCGAUUUAUGAUGUACAACUUUUGACCAAAAGAUAGAUCCAAGCCCCUAAGCUUGAUCUAGCACGUAAAGUUUCGAACUUUACGUGCACGCAUGGGAAUUUUGAGCCAAAAAGGCUCUAAAAUGACUCUUGUGGUGCAUGGGACCUUCCUUGGGUGCAAAAGCAAACCAAAUUUUCUUUGUGACUCCUUCCAAGACUUAGAUUCGAAGUCUUGACCCCCAACCAUGUUUGCAAUCAUGGUUGGCCACCUCAUCUGGCUUAAAAAGCCCUAAAUCUUCCCCAAAAAGGGAUCUAACAAAUGAACAAGUAAGGUACAAACUUUAUACCUUUCAAAGACUGCAAAUGACGAACUAAACUCGAAUCCUUCAGUCUCCUCUUGAUCCUUCUAUGCUCUUCCUUCUUCCUUGAGGUCAAAAACCACAAAAAUCACUCAAAAGCCUUAGAUCUUGCACCAAAACACUUAGGGUUCGCUAUGGAGGGUCUCUAGGAGCAUUAGGGACGAGUAAGGGCUGAAAGAGAUGAUUAAAUAGGGUGCAAACCCUCAUAUUAGGGUUUUUGUCCAGCCAGGGCCUACUCGUCGAGUCCGGGACGCGACUCGUCGAGUCCAUCACUUAAGUCCCGCGUUCUGUCCCGCUUCUACUCGGCGAGUUGGUCCUUCAACUCGCUGAGUCCAAGGCCAAAAAUGCAAAAUACUAAGAAAGAAAUGUGUACCAAGAACCAGGUGCUACAGUUUAUAUCCAGAGACAGGUGUGUGUGGCGUCAGACGGUGGUGAGUUCUUGCAAUUGGUAACUAUGUUAAAAAACGAGAGAUAAGAAACAUAAAAGAGAGAAAUAAAUUGUUGGAUAAAGGGUAAAGUGGGGACCAAAUAUUUCCAAGCGGAGACCAACGAUUAAUAAAUAAUAAUAAUAUUUUCAUUAUAUAUUUAUUACUAGUGGAAAAUUUUUAAGUGAGGGCCAUGCACCCCACUACUUCUUAACUGCAUCCGCCACUGCCUCUAAUGAUUCUUUUAUGUAAAAACUUCCGAUUAAAUGACCAAUUUUUUCCCACCUCACAUUUAUUCCAAACAUUGUCAAGAAAAAUUCAUACUAUCACAAUCUUUUUUUGAAAAUAAUUAAUUAGGGAAUGAGUAUAAACCCCGAAGAAUGGAUGUGAAAAAAUAAAAUCUGAAGAUCCAUUCCUCAAAGCUACCUCCACAGAAUGAGUUCAUUCCUCGGAGGUAGCUCCGUGGAAUGGAUCUUGAGGUUUUUUUUUAAUACCCUGAUUUAUUUACAAUUUUGCCAUUCCGCGGAACUACAAUGGAUUCCGCGGAGCCCUCAUAGUUUACCUCCGUGGAAUUCAUGUCUAUACCCGAAAAUCUAAAUUUUUGUGUCUAUAUUUUGAAAUUCAACCCCAAAAAUUGUCUAUAGCCGGUAUUUUCCCAUGUUUAUUUGAAAAACUAGUUGUUUAAGAACAAACAUGCAAGAUCAUUAAGUAGGCACUAAAUUACUAUUAGCGGCAUCGGCUAAGGAAAAUGGAAAUGCCCUAAAUUUGAUAUGGUCUUCAAUAGUAAUAUGUCGUUUCAUAGCAUAACACACCACAUGUAACUCUUUUGAGGUGACUGUGUGGAUCAUCAUCCUAUAAGAAAAAUAAGCCUAGACUUUCUUGGAGUUCUCUCCCAAGUUGGGAUUAUCGUCAGUCUUGAGCACAUAUUGGGUGUCCGACCGUACAGGACCUGUGUCGUUACAGAUACUAAAAUUUUAAUAUGUCACUAAAUUGUCGAUCUUCGUCGCUAAUCCGUCAUUGCUAAUCCAAAAUUUCAGGGAUCUAUUUUUUAUUUUUGCUUAGGGCCUUUAAAUCAAUGGAUCGACUCUAGUUGAGAUUGUUGGUUAUUUUCAUAACCGAAACAUAAACGCAGAAGCAUAAACUUUGGAUCUUUAAUCUCGAAUCUGAUUAAAAGAAAGCUUAAACAAUAAGAGCGAUUAUAUACCUUGUUCCUUUGAGAUUUUCGGAUCCGGAGAUUAGGAUGAGUUUUCCGUUUGAUCUCGAGAAUCUUUCUAAAAUCCCAAAACCCUAAAAUAAAGUUUUUGUAUGUAUUUUCGUAUAUCGUAAAUCUGCUUCUCAUCACGUAUUUAUAUAGAUGGAGAUAUACCUGAAUGUGAGAGAUAUUAGGGAUUUAGGAGAUCUUGAGUCAAACCGGGAACUCAACCUACAAGAUAAACAUGGUAAAUGUGUAUCUUUAUUUAUUAAUAAAAUCGGUUCACCAACAACUUUAUAUAAUUUCCAUAAUAAUAUUAAAUUAAUGAUAACAUUAUUUAUAUACAUUUAUUAGUGGUCCUAAAGUAUCCAACAUGGAUAUAUUUGGAUAACUACUGCAUAAAGGGUGUUAGGAGACAUUUGGUGUUGUUGACUCUCACAUUGUUCUUUCAUAGGCCACAAUAAGUGUUGUGCAUGGUGAUUCAGUUUCUUACUUUCAAAAUCAAUUUUCGAUGUGGUUGAUUCAUGUAUACUUUGCUUGAAAAUGAGAUAUCUUUCUAAAUGUUGAUAAUAGCUUGUGACGAUGAUGGGGCAAAGGAUUCGACGAAGCUUAACUCGUUUCUUUGGUCUCCUGGUUGAUUUUUGAUUUUCGUAUCAACUUCAAGUAGUGCACUUAUACGAAAAUAUCGCGACAUAAAACAUUUAAUUGUUGUAUCCCAACAAAAGUGUCAAUUUAUUGGAUGUUAGAUCCAACAAAGAUAAUAAUAAAAGUAAACCAACUUAUGCACACAAAAUAUUGUAUGAAUGGAAAUAAGGCUCGUGUUCUCACAAAUACAAAAUAACAUCCUCAUGCUAAAUCUGAAGACAUUUUAAGGCCCGACGAGGCUCGACGAAUCCGAGGUGGAUUCGCAAACACCGCAACGCUACCUCGGUAAGCAUUGUUCAGAGAGACGAUACUUAACACCUUUCUACCGAGUUCAACACCCAUUCUUCACCUAAUGAGCUAACGGCUCAUUUAAAAGAAAAAAUAAAAAAAACUAUAAGUACAACCCUACAUUCCUUCACAUACCACAUCAAAACCUUAUUCUCCACUCUUCUAAAAGUCAUCUUCAUCUUCUUCAGUUUCGCACCCGCUACUGUUACCUGGGAGCAGUUCAGGGACAUGUUUCGCACCCGCUACGUUCCUCGUGUUGAGCGGGAGCGGCUUGCUCAGGAGUUCUUGUGUUUGAGACAGGAUGGAGAGUCAGUGAUGGAGAUUACCCAAAUGUUCACAGAGAGGGCUAUGUUUUGCCCGGAGUUUGCGUCGGAGCAAUCUCAGAUGACCCAUUAUCUGAGUAUGCUCAAGACGGAUAUACGACAGUUUGUGGCUACACAAUGUUGUGAUACCCUCCUGGAUCUUCAGGAAGCCGCGAGGCGACAUGAGUUGGAGAUAGAGCUGCAGCUGAAGGAGCAACGUCAGGCACUGGCCCAGUCGCAGCCAGCGCCUAAGUGGUCUAAGACCGCUGAUACACGAUCUGGGGGUCAGCAGAGCCGCACUUGUGGAAAGUGCGGCAUGGUUCAUUAAGGGUUUUGUCGAGCAGGAGGUGGAUGCCACAAAUAUGGCAAGGAGGGGCACUAUGCCAAGGACUACCGUCAGUCCGCCCCUCCACCAAAUAUGAGGAUUUGUUACCUUUGUUACCAGGUUGGUUACGUGAAUACCAACUGUCCGCAGCUCGCCGGUAAGUCGGCGUUGGGAUCUACUCCAGUUGCUGGGAAGAUUGGUGAUGGGAGGCCAGUCAAGGUGGAGCCUCCGAAGGCUCAGGGUCACGCCUUCCAGCUCACGGCCGAGGAGGCCAAGGCAGCACCGGAUGUGGUUGCUGGUAUGUUUCUAUUCUCUAUCUCAGUUAUUGUAUUUGUAUUAUGCUUAUCGGUUGUACCUAUGACUAGGUACGUUUUUAGUAAAUUCUUUGCCUGCUUUGGUUUUAUUUGACUCGGGGGCGAGUCGGUCGUUCAUAUCUCGGACUUUCAGUAGAGAGUUUAAUGUGCCCAUGGAUGAUCUUGAGUGCUCGUUGCGGGUUUCGAUCGCCAACGCGUACAGGGUUUUUGCUUCUUGGGUUUACCGGGGGUGCGAGUUGGAGAUUUUCGGGGUGCCCUUCCCGAUAGACUUGAUUCCUAUUCCCAUGAGGGAUGUAUGCGUGAUCGUAGGGAUGGAUUGGCUUAGCCAUUUUGGCGCCAUGAUCGACUGUGAGGGACAGCGGGUGGUGGUUCGAACCCCAAGUGGGGGAGAACUUGUAGUAUACGGUGAGGGCACCAGGUUGGGAUCAGGGUUCUGUUUGGCGGCCAGAGCUUGACAGUAUAUUCAGCACGAGUGUGCCGGUUAUUUGGCAUAUGUGAUAGAUACACGGGAUAGGGAGCAUCUCUCUGUUUCAGAGGUCCCGGUGGUGAGGGAGUUUGCUGAUGUGUUUCCGAAAGAGUUACUCGGGGUGCCUCCGGAGAGGCAGGUUGAGUUCAGGAUUGAUCUAGUGCCAGGUGCGGCCCAUAUCGCCAAGGCAUCAUACCGUUUGGCACCGACUGAGAUGCAGGAGCUGUCAUCUCAGUUGCAGGAAUUGUUGGGUAAGUAGUUUAUUUGUCCGAGUAGUUCCCCCUGGGGAGCGCCGAUCCUCUUCGCCAGAAAGAAGGAUGGUUCGCACAGGAUGUGCAUUGACUACAGGGAGUUGAACAAGCUAACGGUGAGAAACCGUUAUCCACUCCCGAGGAUAGAUGAUCUUUUCGAUCAGCUGCAUGGUGCAUCUUGGUUUUCCAAGAUCGAUUUGAGAUCGGGAUAUCACCAGGUCAGGGUGAGGGAGGAGGACGUAGAGAAGACCGCGUUUCGAACUCGUUAUGGUCAUUACGAGUUCGUGGUGAUGCCGUUUGGGCUCACCAACGCACCGGCAGUGUUCAUGGAUUUGAUGAACCGAGUCUGCAGACCGAUGCUUGAUCGCUCGGUCAUUGUAUUCAUAGAUGACAUCUUGGUGUAUUCCAAGACCCGGGAGCAGCAUGAGGAGCAUCUCAGGGAGCUGCUGGAGGUUUUGAGGCGAGAACGACUGUACACCAAGUUCCUGAAAUGCGAGUUUUGGUUACGAGAGGUCCAGUUCCUCGGACAUCUCAUUAACCAAGAGGGGAUUCUGGUCGAUCCGGCCAAGGUAGAUGCAGUUAUGCAGUAGGAGGUUCCGAAAUCCCCCUUGGACAUCAGGAGUUUCUUGGGUUUAGUUGGGUACUACCGGAGAUUCAUUCGUGAUUUCUCCAAGAUAGUGGUACCCCUCACUCAUCUUACGAGGAAGGGGGUGGAUUUUCGGUGGGGUCUAGAGCAGCAGAGGGCAUUUGAGACCCUGCGGCAGUGUUUAUGCGAAGCGCUGGUGUUGACACUCCCCGAGGGAGUAGAGGAUUUUGUAGUAUUUUGUGAUGCAUCCAUCACAGGCUUGGGGGCAGUCCUCAUGCAGAGGGGACGAGUGGUAGCCUAUGCGUCGCGGCAGCUGAAGCCGCAUGAGACUAGGUAUCCGACGCACGAUCUUGAGUUGGGAACGGUGGUUUUCGCUCGCACGAUUUGGAGGCACUAUCUGUACGGGGUCCGUUGUACGAUAUACACGGAUCACAAGAGUUUGAGGCACAUCAUGGACCAGCCAAACUUGUACAUGAGGCAGCGCAAGUGGCUGGAUAUGGUCAAGGACUAUGAUUGCGAGAUCCUUUACCAUCCUCGUAAAGCAAACGUGGUUGCGGCUGCUUUGAGCCGCAAGUCUGCUGGGUCUUCUACCCUAGCCAGAUGUAUGAUGAUAGCGGUGGAUUCCCCGUUGGUGGGUUUGGUCAAAGAUGCUCAGAUCGAGGGUAUGAAACCAGAGAACUGGAAGUUGGAAAGGAUUAAGGGCGAAAGCGCCCGGUUUGUUCAGUAUUGCCGCGGGCUAUUGACCCGAUAUGGUCGGGUUUGGGUUCCGAUGACCGGAGGAGUUAGGCAGACAGUGAUGGAGGAGGCUCAUAAGUCUCGUUUUUCUAUUCACUUUGGGGCUACCAAGAUGUACCGUGAUUUGAGUUCGAAUUAUUGGUGGCCUGGUAUGAAGCGGGAUAUCGCUUGGUACAUUGAGAGGUGCUUGACCUGUAGGAUGGUCAAGCCCGAGCACCAGAGGCCGCAUGGUAAGCUGCAGCCUCUGGAGAUUCCCAUGUGGAAAUGGGAACUGAUCGCGAUGGAUUUAACUGAUUGCCAAGAACGGCAAAGGGAUUCGACGCUAUAUGGGUUAUCGUGGGUCGAUUGACCAAAAGUGCUCACUUCCUAGCCAUACGGGAGAGUUCGUCUGCAAAAAAGUUGGCCGACCUAUACGUCCGCGAGAUUGUCUCUCGCCACGGAGUCCUGGUUUCCAUUGUUUCAGAUCGGGAUGUCAUGUUUACUUCACGAUUUUGGCAGAAGGUCCACGAGGAACUAGGUACGAGGCUGCAUUUCAGUACGGCGUUCCAUUCGCAGACUGACGGACAGAGUGAGCGUACCAUCCAGACCCUCGAAGAUAUGUUGAGGGCAUGUGUCAUUGAUUUCGGUGGGAGUUGGGAUUCCUACUUACCGCUUGUUGAGUUCGCCUACAACAACAACUACCAUUCCAGUAUUGGCGCCCUGCCUUUCGAGCUGUUGUAUGAGCGAAAGUGUAGGACCCCAGUCUGUUGGGGUGUAACACCCAAAGUUUUGAAGGCCGAGAAAGGAAAGAAAACCUUAACUUUAAAGGGGGACUCGGCGAGUCCAAGGAGGAACUCGGCGAGUCCAAGCGGGAUCCGGGUCGGGGAGUAAGUGACCGACUCGGCGAGUCGGCCAAGGAGACUCGGCGAGUCAGGUCUGUUCGAGGAAAACCCUAAAUUCGGGACUUGGGGCCUAUUUAAGCGCCUCAUUCUCUUCCCUAGGGUUCCUUUACUGCCUCUUUAACCCAGAAUGCCAAACCCUAGCCGUCAUAUCCAUUGAUUGAGCCAAUUGUUGUCUUGAGGAGUGCAUUAAAGCUUGGAGAAGGAAGAAGGAUCUUGAAAGUGCAAGGAGGGGGCUAUAGAUCUGAGAUUGGGAAGAUAUUUCUGAACAUCUGAAGGUAAUAAGUCGUUUCCCCCUUCCUUUAGAUCUAUUUUGGUUGUGAGUUUUGGGGCUUUUAGCCAUGAGUAGUGAUCCAUUUGAGUUAGAAGCCGGAUCUGGAGUUGCUACUUCAGAUCUAAGUAUAUUUUGGUCUUGGAAAGCAUAAAGUUUCAGCCCUUGAGUUGAUUAUGGAGCCUCUUUGCCUUAAACCCUAGUUUAUGGUGUAUUUUGCCUAGAUCUCCUUCUCUACACGUAAAGUUUGCAACUUUACGUGAGGAAUAGGCUUGGGAAGGGUAGAUCUACAGUUUGGAGUCCAUGCAUGACUCAAAAGUCCUCUGCAUGUAUGGAGAUCUGAAUGGACUCGGCGAGUCCUUUGAGUGGACUCGGCGAGUAGCAUGAAGAUUUGGAGGAACUCGACGAGUGGGAUGAACAGCUCGUCGAGUCAGAUGAAGUUGGGCAAGAACUCGACGAGUUGGAUGAACAACUCGGCGAGUCUGUUGAAGGUUGUCUUGGACUCGGCGAGUCUGUUCUUCGCGAAACCCCCCAAACCCUUCGAGUUGAGACUCGAAUCAGUGAGUCGAAUGGAGACUCGGUGAGUUGGACAGGUCAGCACUUGAAAAUUGGUAGACUCGGCGAGUCAUGGACUGACUCCGUGAGUCGAAUCGCGAAUAGAAGGACUCUGAACAUAUGAACUCGGCGAGUCAAUAGGGUGACUCGGCGAGUAGGGUUGACCUGGAAGGUUGACUUUGACCAGGACUUUGACUUUGACCAGAGUUGACUUGGUUGUCUUUCGGGGGUCAGUUAGACUCAGUAUUGCUUUGAUAUUGGUAGCUCGGGGAGCGAGUGGUGCAGGAGUUCAGAGAGUUGCUGGGCAGCAACUAGUGGGUUCAUCAUCCAGUUCAGCCAGUGCAGGUGAGUUUCCCUUUGUAUGAAUGGGUCUACGGCCACAAUGCCGGCCCAUGUAGUUAUGAGUAGAAGACCCGGGGGUUAGCCCUAGGCACAGUAUGCUAGUAUGAUAUUCGGGACGAGGUCCAAUGAUAGAGGGCGGGUGCCCAAGGAAUGGUUUAUGUGAUAGUUUAUACUUGUUGUCUGUGUGAUACUUGUAUGUGCCUGGUAGGGAGGUGAGUGUGGGCGAGGUCCCGUAUCUCACCAAUAGCAGAGUGUGGAUGGUGUUCCACAUCUCAGUAGCAGCAGAUCAGGGGCGAGGCCCAAGUUAGGGAAGGAGUGAGGGUGGGCUGGGCCCGUACCUCACUAUCAGCAGGAGUAUGGACGGGGUUCCAUGACUCAUCAGUAGCAGGACAAGGGCGGGGCCCAGAGAUAGGCGAGGCCUUAGGACAAGAUCCGUUAGUAUGUGUUUAGCUUAUGUGAUGUGAUGUGAUAUGUUUAUGUGCUAUUAUAUGUUAGUGGGCGAGGCCCUGUGACAGGCGAGGCCUAAGUGAAACAGAUCUGUAUCCGAGCGGGGCUCGAAGCCAGGCGGGGCCUGGAGUGGCGGGGCCGUUGUAGCGGGCGAGGCCCGAGGUAGGGGGCGAGGCCCAGAAAUAGCAGGCGUGGCCCAGUACGUGCAAUAUGUGGUUAUGCAUGGUAUGUGGUAGGGUGGGGAACUCACUAAGCUUCAUGCUUACGGUUUCCAUUUUUGGUUUCAGGUACUUCCGGUAGCGGAGGGAAGAGCUCGGGGUGAUCGCAUGGCACACACCAUAGAUUAGACAGCCUGGGAAUGUUUACUCUGAUAACGAACAUGUAUUUUGGAAACUAAUACUCUGUUUAUGUUUUGAAAUGAUGAAUUUGCUUAAAGUAAUAUUUUAUUAAAAGAAAUUUUUAGUCUUGAAUUUUGGGACGUUACAUGGGGUGAGGUUGGGCACAGGGUGAUAGGUCGGACAGAGGUAGUUCUGCAAACUACCGAGAUGAUACAACAGAUUAGACAGCGACUGCAGACCGCUCAGAGCCGGCAGAACAGUUAUGCGGACCGGUGCCGAUCUGAGCUGGAAUUUCAGGUGGGUGACAUGGUCCUCCUGAAGGUCUCACCCUGGAAGGGUGUGAUCCAUUUCAGGAAGAAGGGAAAGUUGGGUCCCGCUAUAUUGGGCCGUUCAGGAUUGUUGCCAGGGUGGGGAAGGUGGCUUAUUGGUUAGAGCUCCCGGAAGAGCUUAGCCGGAUCCAAAACACAUUUCAUGUUUCGCAAUUGUGAAAGUGCGUUAUGGACCAGGAGGCAGUGGUGUCGUUGGAUGACAUUCAGGUCGACGGGCGCUUGAACUAUGUGGAAAGGCCUGUGGCGAUUUUGGAAAGGAAGAAUAAGAUUCUGUGAAAUAAGGAAAUACCUUUGGUAAAGGUACAAUGGGAACAUCGGAAGGGAACCGAGUGGACGUGGGAGUCGGAGGCAGAGAUGCGCGAACAUUACCCGACAUUUUUUAUCCCAGCGGACUUCGAGGGCGAAGUCUAGUUCAAGUUGGGGAGAGUUGUAAUGCCCCGACUCUCAAGUAGUACUUUAAAUAAAAUAUAUUUUUUAGGUUUUGGCCCUACUCGUCGAGUAGCAAUGGGUUGGAUCGCGAAUUAAGGGAUCUACUCAGCGAGUCCUUUAUGGGACUCGACGAGUAGAAGCUAGAAAGUGAAACCCUAAUUCCUGGGGUUUGCACCCCUAUUUAAAGAAGCUCAAGCCUCUUUCAGUUCCUUUGCAUCCCCCUUUUCAUCUCUAACUCGUGUGUGUGUGUGUGUUAUUGUGUGUUGAAGCUUUGUGAGAAGAUUUUGGUGUAGGAGUUUGGGAAACAAGUGAUUGAGGCAAGGAGCUGGGAGGAGACCCGAAUUCUACUGUUGUGGACAUCUCUUGGGAAGGUAUUAAACCAUUAUCCUUAAUUAUUUCAGUCUAGAUCUUAUCUUUGAAUGAGUUUUAGGGUUUUAUAAGGGUAUCAAGUUCGUAUGACAAUCUAUGGGCUAGAUCUGAAGUUGUAACUUCAGAUCUGGAUCCUCCUAGGAUUAUACAAGCAUAAAUUUCUAGUUUUAGUCGAGAUUAAGGUUCCCUUGGUCCAUGAACACCCAUUAAAAGUUUGGUUUUGGCAUUAAGAUCUUGUAAAGCAAUGCAUGCAAGUAAAGUUUGCAACUUUACGUGAUAAGCAGACCUAAGGAAGUUGGAUCUGCAAUUUGGGGCCUUGCCAUGGCUUAAAGACGUCUGCAUGUUAAAAUUACUAAAGGGACUCGGCGAGUCAUAUGAAGAUGUGCAUUAAACUCGACGAGUUGUUUGAAUAACUCGGCGAGUUAGAUGAAGAUGUCCAUGAAACUCGAUGAGUUGAAGAAUAACUCGGUGAGUCGGAUGAGUUUUAGCUAAGGAUAUGGUUGCGUGUAUACCCAUCAAGUUGCAAGGAGGAAACUCGACGGGUGGCCUUAAGGUUUGAUCGAGAUUCGAAGGAACUCGACGAGUCACCCCGAUGACUCGGCGAGUUGGAAUGUGCUCCAAGGACUCGGCGAGUGGCCGAGUAUACUCGGCGAGUUGAGGUCAACAUGGACUGUUGACCUUGAUCGAGGACUUUGACCUUGAUCAGGAAUUUACUAGGGUAUUAUGGAGUGCCUUAUAAGGUUAAGGACUUAUGAGUAUAUUGUGCUAUGGUUAUAGGUGGUGGAGCCUGUGUCAAGUGAUUCGAUAGUUGGAGUUUACCUUUCGAGUUGACAUCUGCGAGGGGAGUUAUCCUCACUAUAUCAGUAGGGUCUAUGGCACCAAGGCCGACCCUUUGAUUGUUAUUGUUAUGGUAUGCUGCAUGUGAUUAUGAUUUGUUCCAUUGGAAUCAGGGUAGACAAUAUGAUAUGCUCUUAUGAUCCUUAGGGAUUGGUAUGUUAGUGACCUGUUAGGUCAAUGCUCUAGUUAAGAGUGAACUCUAUGAUUGAUGGCCAGUGAGAUAAAUAUGUUUGCUAUUUGUAUAUGCCAGUAUAUGAUAGUAUGCGUACAUGGUUAUUUGCUUGUUGGUUGGGUUGAGGCGGUCCUGCUUUGAGCGGAAGGCCAACACACCCUCUGAGCGGUCCGGGGAGACUGUAGGCCCAUGUAGCGGACCAAUCAUGUCGAAGGCUCGGGAUAGUUCGAGACAAAAUGUAGGCCCAUUAGGGUGGACCAGUCCGGCCGAUGGCCCAGUAUGUAUGUUGUUUGAUUGAUCGCUAUUGUUAUGGUUUCUGCCAGUGUGGUAUUGGUAUUUUGGGGGUAGCUCACUAAGCCCUCGGGCUUACAGUUUUCAGUUUAUUGUUUCAGGUACUUUAGGAGAUAGAGGGAAGGCGAAGGCGUGACCGUACCGCUCCUCAUCCUCAUGAUCUGUUUUGGGACACUCUGAUGAUAAAUGAAUUGGAAAUGUUUUGUAAAAACAAUUACUAUUUGGUUCUUUUGUUAAUAUCAAAAGUUUAAAUUUGGCGCAAAUUUUUUGGAUGUUACAGCAUGUCCAUAUUUCCAACGACAUGUAAAUUCUAGAUGUGCAAUUGUGACAACCCAAGUUGUCCCGUUACAUUUCCCCGUUACCGUUAACGGAAUAUUCCACUAUAUAAAAGUUCCGUUAAUUAGAGGGCGUCAAUUUAAUAAAUAUUCCAUUUGGUUACAUUUAACAUGCCGUUAAGUCNGUGAUAAAAGGAAAUAAAAACACAUAACACCCAUUUCCAUUUAUUUGGAAAAUGUUAAGUUUUAUUAUUACGACCACUAAAUCGGGUGCGACCAAAAGCCCCGUUUAACGGCAGUAUCGGGUAAAAUUCCACUGAGCCCCGACUCGGAACCCUAUAUAAGGGUGAGUGGAGUCCAUUGGAGACUUUUUACACUCUCUCUCUAGACCCGUUUUCACCCCGAAUCCGCAACCCAACGCUUCCAAAUUGUAAGUCCGCUUACCCUAGCUUGUUCUAAACAUUACUAGCUGUAGUUAUAGCCCAAAAACCAUCCAAGAAGGCAUGGGAUAAGGAGUUUACGGCCCAGGAACACUCUAGGGCCGUAAACCCCUAAAAUGGUGCCAAACAUGCCUUUAAACUUGCCCUUAAGCUUGGAAACUAAUUAGGGAUCUAGCCUAGGAGUGUUUAAACAUCAAAACACAAUGAUUUAGGGCAUAAAAGUGAGUUUACGGCCCAAGCACAUGCUUAGGCCGUAAACCCCUCAAAACCUUGUCAAAAUGCCUCCAAAACACUCCCAAACCACACUAGGGCUUAACACAUAAAUUAGGGGCUUAUUCUCUUGGGUUUAGAUCACUUAAACAAUUAGAAUUAGAGGAUUAAUAGGAGUUUACGGCCCAGACAUGUGUCAAGGCCGUAAACUCCCCAAACCAAGCCAAAAUGUUGGUUUUUGUCCCCCAAAUGACCUUAGACUAUUUCCAUAAAAUACUAGGAAGGAUUUAAGGACUUAAACACAUGAAAUGGAGGGGUAAAAAGGAGUUUACGGCCCAAGCAAGUGUCUAGGCCGUAAACUCCCCAAAACACAUCCAAAUGUUAGAUUUAAUCCCCCAAAAUAGCAUCACACUUCAUUAGAAAUUGCUAGAAAGGUAAUAGGGGCUUGAAACUUCACAAAACACUAAGGGUGAGAGUUUACGGCCGUAAACUCCCUUAGGAGUGUCCCUAGGCCGUAAACUCCAAGUUAAUGCCCUUAGAAGCCUCAAACCCACUCAUGCCUUUUNNNNNNNNNNNNNNNNNNNNNNNNNNNNNNNNNNNNNNNNNNNNNNNNNNNNNNNNNNNNNNNNNNNNNNNNNNNNNNNNNNNNNNNNNNNNNNNNNNNNNNNNNNNNNNNNNNNNNNNNNNNNNNNNNNNNNNNNNNNNNNNNNNNNNNNNNNNNNNNNNNNNNNNNNNNNNNNNNNNNNNNNNNNNNNNNNNNNNNNNNNNNNNNNNNNNNNNNNNNNNNNNNNNNNNNNNNNNNNNNNNNNNNNNNNNNNNNNNNNNNNNNNNNNNNNNNNNNNNNNNNNNNNNNNNNNNNNNNNNNNNNNNNNNNNNNNNNNNNNNNNNNNNNNNNNNNNNNNNNNNNNNNNNNNNNNNNNNNNNNNNNNNNNNNNNNNNNNNNNNNNNNNNNNNNNNNNNNNNNNNNNNNNNNNNNNNNNNNNNNNNNNNNNNNNNNNNNNNNNNNNNNNNNNNNNNNNNNNNNNNNNNNNNNNNNNNNNNNNNNNNNNNNNNNNNNNNNNNNNNNNNNNNNNNNNNNNNNNNNNNNNNNNNNNNNNNNNNNNNNNNNNNNNNNNNNNNNNNNNNNNNNNNNNNNNNNNNNNNNNNNNNNNNNNNNNNNNNNNNNNNNNNNNNNNNNNNNNNNNNNNNNNNNNNNNNNNNNNNNNNNNNNNNNNNNNNNNNNNNNNNNNNNNNNNNNNNNNNNNNNNNNNNNNNNNNNNNNNNNNNNNNNNNNNNNNNNNNNNNNNNNNNNNNNNNNNNNNNNNNNNNNNNNNNNNNNNNNNNNNNNNNNNNNNNNNNNNNNNNNNNNNNNNNNNNNNNNNNNNNNNNNNNNNNNNNNNNNNNNNNNNNNNNNNNNNNNNNNNNNNNNNNNNNNNNNNNNNNNNNNNNNNNNNNNNNNNNNNNNNNNNNNNNNNNNNNNNNNNNNNNNNNNNNNNNNNNNNNNNNNNNNNNNNNNNNNNNNNNNNNNNNNNNNNNNNNNNNNNNNNNNNNNNNNNNNNNNNNNNNNNNNNNNNNNNNNNNNNNNNNNNNNNNNNNNNNNNNNNNNNNNNNNNNNNNNNNNNNNNNNNNNNNNNNNNNNNNNNNNNNNNNNNNNNNNNNNNNNNNNNNNNNNNNNNNNNNNNNNNNNNNNNNNNNNNNNNNNNNNNNNNNNNNNNNNNNNNNNNNNNNNNNNNNNNNNNNNNNNNNNNNNNNNNNNNNNNNNNNNNNNNNNNNNNNNNNNNNNNNNNNNNNNNNNNNNNNNNNNNNNNNNNNNNNNNNNNNNNNNNNNNNNNNNNNNNNNNNNNNNNNNNNNNNNNNNNNNNNNNNNNNNNNNNNNNNNNNNNNNNNNNNNNNNNNNNNNNNNNNNNNNNNNNNNNNNNNNNNNNNNNNNNNNNNNNNUCUCUACCUCUAGUUCUACACUUACAUUAGAAACCCACUAUUUGGAAGUCUCUACCCACUAUUUGGGAUGCAUCUUCAGGACACGGCCUUCUCCGUCGUCUAGUUGGUAACCAGAGUCUCCUGUAGGGAGAGCGGACAUUGUGUGUAUAGAUCUAUACGGGAUUGACAACCCCGCACCCAGACUGCUAGCUACAGUCCCGGCCUACCAAGCCAACGGGUGACAAAUGUCACAUUUUAGACGCUUGUAGGGCGUCUGGUACUCUAGUCAGUAUGGUUACGAGUAUCCCGGGUUACCUUAUAAUUCAUUGGCUUUAAGGUAACGGUAUUUCGCCAGCAAUUUACACUGUAUGCUGGUAACUCAUUUUCAGAGUCACACUGUUUUGAACUUACAAGACGUAUCUUUCAUUUGAUGCUGUCUGGGGUCUGUCUCCACUGUAUUCACAGAAUCCACUGUGUUCACUGUGUUCACUGUUUUAGACCUCGCUAGACGUAUCUUUCAUUUGAUAUUGUCUGCGGUCUGUAUUCACUGUUGUAGACCUUACUAGUUGUACCUUUCAUUUGGUACCUUUCAUUUGGUACCUUCUGGGGUCUAUGUCUCCACUUGUUAGACUGAACCAGGCGUGUCGUUCGUUUGAUACUUUCCUGGAGUCUAUGGUUCCUUGCCUUAGUCAGCAGUCCUCAUUGCUGAGGCAUAUGAUAUCCCCUGAUGUCGUUUGCUUUCCUCAAUAAUCAAAUUCAGUAUUUUGAUAAUGAUAGCAACUUACGGAAAACUACUUUUUACCACACAUCACUGACCAGUCUUGGUAGAAGGCUGCUAUUAUUAAAGAAAAUAUAGGAUUUUCUGGAAAGGACUCUAAUACACUGAAAUCUCUUAAACUACUACUUUCAUUAAAGUUAUUUGAAUGAAAAUGUCACUAAAUGCUUAUGAACUCACCAGCAUUUGUAAAAAUGCUGAUACUCGCUUUUCAAAUAACUUGUAUUCUCAGGUUAGCAUUAGACAGAUACAUCCCAGGAGUAGUUAACGAAGAUAGCUUAUUACCUUUCUAUACUUAUUAUAUUUGUCUGUAUUACCUUGUUGUAUUGUAAUGUAACCAUGUAAAAAUUAUUACUAUUAAUGCAAUGUUUUGUUGUACUUCGAUUACUAUAUGCAUGUGUUGUGAUACUUGACAUGACGUCAUCCACCCCAAAACGUUUCCGCCGUUCCGGUUUUGGGGUGUGACAGCAAUUGAUUUUACCCCCUUACAAAAUGCACCGCCGUACUUCAUCAACUACCAUAUGUCACUUUCCCCAAUGCACUAGAUGGGAAUUUUAGGAUGUCCGGAUGUACUGCAUGACAAAACCUUCACAAAUUUUGUAAGUAUAACAUGAGAUUGUAUUGUCCACGAUAUUUACGCAAACCUACUUGUAGUGACAUCCAACAAUCAUAUACUCAUCAUUCGAAUGUGACGACUUCCCUGGAAUGUUAGUAAACCUAGAUUGUCUCCACUAGGAAUGGGGCAAUUGCCUGAAUGCACAUCAAUGGCAAUACACCCGAUAUGAUCAUGGUUAUCCAACUAUCAUAUUUGAAGCAGUGGCCUCACAUGAUUUGUGGAUAUGUCACACAUUCUUUGGUUCUGUUGGUUCUCUGAAUGACAUAAAUGUGCUUAACAUGUCUCCGUUAUUCAACGACAUGUAUAACGGGACCGCAUCAGAUUCUUCGUUUGAUGUGCGUGGACAUUAUAUAGGUACGAGUAUUAUCUCGUGGAUGAGAUAUAUCCGAAGUGUUCUUGUUUUGUGAAGUCAUUGUCUUGUCCUAAUGAUCGAAAAAGGUUAAGUUUAAGAGAGCUCAAGAUAAGACAAGGAAGGAUGCUAAACAAGUGUUUGACUCUCUUAAAAAACGUUGACAUAUAUUUAAAUAUCAUUCACUUUUUGUUGACGAGAAGAAAAUGAGUGAGAUGAUGUAUACUUGUAUCAUAUUGCAUAAUAUGAUUCUCAAAGAUGAAAGAAAUGAAUAUGUGAGUAUAAUGGAAACGAGAUCGUUCCAUCGACACAAACAUUUGAGGUUGGAAGCGACAAGUACUUGUCGAGCAUGCAUACUUCAACAAACCUAGAACCAACCCAUUUUAUAAAAUUACAAGCUUAAAACAUUACUUAUCCUUCUAACCGGUUUUACUUUCAACUAUCUACUUAUAGACAAUCCGAUUUAAUUUCACAAAUCCAAUGAAUAAAAGAAAAAAUCAUUAGCUAAAAAGAAAGUAUGUCACAUGAGGUGAAUGGUUAAGCAAACUGAAAGCAUUUGAAUGUAUUUUUGAUGCAUUAAGUUAUUUAUAUUUUAUGUCAAAAUAUUCCAAAUUAAGUAAAGUUUAUUUACCAAAUGGCUUGUAGCCUAGCGGUAUCAGAUGGUGUUCUCCCUCUUUAGGUCGAGGGUUCAAGUUCCGUCGUGGACAUAGGUGAAAUAAAUGUUGUUAGUUUAGGAGUAGAUUAGAAUUGCCGGUUUAAAAAAAAAAUAAAUAAAGUUUAUUUGAUCGAUUGGGUUUUAUGGGAUCCGAUCCGAACCAUAAAGCCUUUUUGUAAUCUAAAGACCUCUUUAAUACACUCGAGCAUCAAGGUUUGCGUACAAAAUGUGUGAGAUUUAUAUUUUAUUUUAAAAUAACAAUAAUUUAAAAAUAAAAUUAAAUAAAUAAAAAAUAAAACCCAAACCUGAACGACAAUGGGCUUCGAUGCCUCAUUCGGAGAAGACGUUCAACCCCCUUUGUGAAUUGUUGAUCUUCGAUUUCCCCAAAUAAUUCCCAAAAAUCGACAAAGUGAAAGGAAGCAAGAUCAUAACUCAGAAGUUUGUCACCUCUGCUAGUGCGCGAGGUCCACGACGGACGACUCUCGCCUUGCCCGGAGGAUGCGCAAAAGGUAAACUUUGGUUUUUUGUUCUUCGAUCUGGUUCUUCCUUAAUCUACUAAAUUCAAUUAUGCAUUCCAUAAAUCGGCAUCAGAUUCUAAGUUGCUUACAAUUCCAUCUUGUUUAUCCGAUUUGUAGGUUACCGUUUCUUCGGAUUCUGUAACGAUUGAUGUUUGUUUGAUUAUUGAAAUGAAAUGAAGUCGAUUUAAGCUCAAUUGUGUAUACAUGAGGUGUUUUUGCUCUUUUUGAACUGAUGAAGAUUGGGAUCUGAGAUUUUAGUGUGACAUAUUUCAGGAUUUAAUCUGCCUGUUUAACUCAACUUCAUGAAUUGUAACAACUACACGAAGAAUUCGAAUGUUUUUACUAUCAUAAACACGAUUACACCUAACCAGCAAUUCAGAUUUUUGUUUCCCUCUGAUUUUAAAAGAGUUAUAUACAUGAAAAUCUGAUUUACAAAAUCCAAGUGCAUUGUGCCUAAGAACCCUAUAUUCUCCCCCAAUUUCUAACAGCAACCUUAUGCAGUUAUGCCAUUGGUUUAUUGAGCAUAUACAUUUGCAUACAAUGUUUAUUGAUUUUGUGAUGCUCCAUUUCUCUUUUUGAAGGUGGUUAUGAUCUGCCAAGAUCCAAUCUGAUAAAAUCUAUCAACAAUUUGCUCUGAUAUAAACAUGGGGUGCCCGAAUCAACUACCCGAAGGAGUAACAGCUGCCCGAGACACCAAAGAUUGUUCCCCUUCCUCCUCCUCCUCCUCCUCCUCCUCCUCCUCCUCUUCUUCUUCUACUUCUUCAGCAUUCAUGGUGAAUUCAGAAAUCGGUGCAGUUUUAGCAGUUAUGAGAAGAAACGUUCGAUGGGGUGUUCAAUACAUGGACAAUGAAGAUCAAUUAGAACACCCAUUAAUCAAAUCCUUCAAAGAAAUUCGAAAAAAAAUCUUCUCAUGGCAACAUCAAUGGCACACCAUAAACCCUAUUCUUUACCUUCAACCCUUUUUAGAUGUGAUUCAAUCGGAUGAAACAAGUGCUCCAAUAACCGGUGUUGCAUUAUCAUCACUUUACAAAUUCUUAACCCUUGAAGUUCUUGAUCUUGACACUGUGAAUGUAUCUGAUGCAUUGCAUUCGAUUGUUGAUGCUGUUACAAGCUGUAGAUUUGAGGUGACUGAUCCUGCUUCUGAAGAGGUGGUUUUGAUGAAGAUUUUGCAGGUUUUGUUGGGGUGUAUGAAGAAUGAAGCUUCGGUUAAAUUGAGUAAUCAGCAUGUUUGCAAUGUGGUGAAUACUUGUUUUCAGAUUGUUCAUCAAGCAGGGGCAAAAGGGGAAUUGUUGCAAAGAACAGCUAGGCAUACUAUGCAUGAGUUGAUUAGAUGUGUUUUUAUGCAUCUCCCAGAUGUUGUGAAUAAGGAAGAUGAGGUUACUCAUGAGGUAAGUUGACUUUUUUCUUUCUUUUUUGACUUGCUUUUUUUUUUUUUUUUUUUUAGUUUUUUUUUUUNNNNNNNAAUUUGUUUUUUUUUUUUUUUUUUUUGUUUUUUUUUUUUUUUUUUUUUUUUUAGUUUUGUUUAUAGAUUAGUAAUUUGCAUAUUUUGUUUCCCAUUUUGCUGUUUGAUAAUGCUUUAGGUCCCUGAAAUUAACACAAUUUGUUUUAUGUUAUAAUCACUAAAAAUAUAAAGUGGAGGGCAAAAUGGUCAUUUUGACUAAUUUGCAUAUUUUGUUUCCCAUUUUGCUGUUUGAUAAUGCUUUAGGUCCCUGAAAUUAACACAAUUUGUUUUAUGUUAUAAUCACUAAAAAUAUAAAGUGGAGGGCAAAAUGGUAAUUUUGACUAAUUUGCAUAUUUUGUUUCCCAUUUUGCUGUUUGAUAAUGCUUUUGGUCCCUGACACUAACACAAUUUUUUUUACUAUAUAAUUACUAAAAAUAUAAAGUGGAGGGCAAAAUGGUCAUUUUGACUAAAACAAACGGUGUUAGUGUUGGUGUUGGGGAACAAAAGUACUUUGAAUCACUGGAAUAAGGACCAAAUAUGAAAAAAGAUUUAUUUUUGGACUGAAAUGGGAAUGAUCAGUACAUUAUAUCGAUUACAAAAAUCUACCAAAUUAUAAUAUUGUACUCUCAAUUAUUUAUUAUUAAGAUAUUAAACUUUUGAAAAAUAUACCUGUUGUAUUUAGAUGACAUUGCUAAUAUUUAGUAGAUUUUUUCAUUUCUUUCUAUUAUUUUUUUUUCUUAUUAAGGCAUUGUAAAUUGAAAAAUCUCCUUAAUUGACUAAUUUUUGUAAUUUUAUUCGUUUGACUCAGGUCAACGUGCCCAGUAACGAACAAUCAUCCACUAGUAACGGCUACACCGGUUCAAAAAUCGAAUCCGUCGGAGGUUCUUUAAAUCUUUCCGCCGUCGUACCGGAAGUCAAAAUGGAUGAAACUUCCGGCGAGGUUGGUCAAACUAAAAACCAUGUUGUUACAGAGCCUUAUGGUGUUCCAUCAGUGGUGGAAAUCUUCAACUUCCUUUGUUCACUUUUAAACGCGGUAGAACAUUCCGGAAUAGCUCCAAGAUCGAACUCAUUAGCAUACGAUGAAGACGUUCCUUUAUUCGCCUUGGGUUUAAUCAACUCCGCCAUUGAAUUAGGCGGCGCCGCCCUCAGCCAGCAUCCGGAGAUUCUCGCCCUAGUGCAAAACGAUCUGUUCCAUAGCUUAAUCCAGUUCGGAUUGUCUCCAAGUCCGCUGAUUCUUUCAACAGUUUGCAGCAUCGUUUUGAAUCUCUACCAUCUCAUGCGAGUUAAACUGAAAUUGCAGCUCGAAGCGUUCUUCUCUUCUGUUCUCAUGAAGAUUGCUCUGAAUAAACACGGAGCUUCGUAUCAACAACAGGAAGUCGCGAUGGAAACUCUCGUUGAUCUUUGUCGGCAACCGACUUUCAUCCACGAAAUGUACGCGAAUUACGAUUGCGACAUAUCGUGUAGCAAUGUUUUCGAAGAUUUAUCCAAUUUGUUAUCAAAAAGCGCGUUUCCGGUGAAUAGUCCGUUAUCGGCGAUUCACGUUCUUGCCCUAGAAGGAUUAAUCGCGAUGAUAAGCGGCAUGGCGGAAAGCAUCGGCGAUGAAGCGCCACCGCUAGAACCAGAUCCAUCGAGUAUUGAAGAUCACGAGUCGUUUUGGAAAGUGAAGUGUGAGAAUUUCGAGAAUCCCGAUGCUUGGGUACCUUUCAUUCGUAAAAUGAAGCAUAUCAAGAAGAAAUUAGCAAUCGGGUCGGAUCAUUUCAACCGGGACCCAAAAAAAGGUCUGCAAUUUCUCCAAGGAAUGUAUUUAUUACCUGAAACACUCGACCCAAUCAGCGUAGCAUGCUUUUUACGUUACACUACUGGACUCGAUAAAAACCUCGUCGGUGAUUAUCUCGGGAAUCACGAUCAAUUUUGCAUCGAUGUUCUUCAAGAAUUCGCCGGAACUUUUGAUUUCAGGGACAUGAAUCUCGACAUCGCGCUACGUGUUUUUCUAGAAACCUUCAGAUUACCAGGGGAAUCACAGAAGAUUCAGAGAGUUGUCGAAGCAUUUGCUGAAAGAUAUUAUGAACAGUCGCCGGAUAUUCUCGCAAACAAAGACGCCGCCUUGUUAUUAUCAUAUUCUUUAAUUAUGCUCAACACAGAUCAACACAACGCUCAGGUGAAAAAAAAGAUGACGGAGGAAGAUUUCAUCAGAAACAACCGGAGAAUCAAUGGUGGCAAUGACCUCCCCAGGGAGUACUUAUCAGAGCUUUACAGAUCAAUCAGUGAAAACGAGAUUAAAAUGACACCUGAACACGGUGUCGGGUUUCCGGUCAUGACCCAUGAUAACUGGGUCGGGUUGAUCCAUAAAUCCCGACAAACUGCUCCAUUCAUCGUCUGCAAUUCAGGCGACAACUCUGGUGACCGGAUUAACCAUGAAAUGUUUGCGAUUUUAUCCGGGCCCACCGUUGCCGCCUUAUCUGUUAUUUUGGAUCUUGUGGAACAAGAAGAUGUUUUACAAGUUUGUAUCGAUGGGUUUCUUGAUGUUGCUAAAAUCGCCGGGAGUUAUCAUCUUGAUGAUGUUCUAGACGGGUUGCUUGUGUCUCUUUCCAAAUUCACAACGUUGCUGAUUCCGAUGUCGAUUGAGGAUUCCGUUCUUGCGUUCGGUGACGAUUCCAAAGCCCGGAAAGCAACGGUUGCGGUUUUCACAAUCGCGAAUUCAUACGGCGAUUACAUACGAUCGGGCUGGCGAAACAUUCUUGAUUGUAUUCUAAGUUUACACAAAUUAGGGCUUUUACCCGCCCGAUUAGCCCGUGAUGCCGCUGAUGACUUCGAUUCCGUUUCCGAUCCUGAUUCCGGGAAAUCAACAGUCACCCCGGUAUCAACAAAACCCGCGUUACCCCCGUCCCGGAAACCAUCCGGGCUUAUGGGGCGCUUCAGUGAGUUUCUUUACUACGAUACCGAAAAACCCGCCCCGCAACCCUCCGAAGAACAAGUGGAAGCUCGGAAUCGGGCGAUGGAAACCGUUAAAGAUUGUCAUAUCGAAAACGUGUUCACGGAAAGUAAGUUUCUUCAAUCGGAAUCUCUUUCGAGUCUGGCNNNNNNNNNNNNNNNNNNNNNNNNNNNNNNNNNNNNNNNNNNNNNNNNNNNNNNNNNNNNNNNNNNNNNNNNNNNNNNNNNNNNNNNNNNNNNNNNNNNNNNNNNNNNNNNNNNNNNNNNNNNNNNNNNNNNNNNNNNNNNNNNNNNNNNNNNNNNNNNNNNNNNNNNNCCGCGCCCUGAUGCUGGGCGCGGGCCCCUCCGGAAUCAGUAAUUCCGGAGACGAUGAAGACGCGGCAAUCUUCUGUCUGGAAUUACUGAUUACUGUUGCGUUGAAUAACCGCGACCGGAUUAUGAUUCUAUGGCAAGGGGUGUACGAGUACAUUGCGAAUAUUGUUCAAUCCGCAGUGAUGCCGAGUGCGUUAGUGGAAAAAGCGGUUUUCGGAUUAAUCCGAAUUUGUCGAAGGCUUUUACCUUAUAAAGAAGAUUUAACCGAUGAUUUACUAAAAUCCCUUCAAUUGAUUCUAAAACUCGACGCCAGGGUGGCGGACGCGUAUUGCGAACACAUAACACAAGAAAUCAUGCGGUUGGUCAAAGUCAACGUCGGUCAAAUAAAGUCUCACAUGGGGUGGCGGACAAUCACCUCGCUUCUAUCAAUCACCGCGCGACAUCCGGAAGCUUCCGAGCCGGGAUUCGAAACCCUAGAAUUCAUCAUGUCGGACGGGGCCCACUUGUUACCCGCGAAUUUCGUCCUAUGUGUCAACGCGGCUAGGCAAUUCGCAGAGUCGCGAGUGGGUGACGUGGUGAGGUCGGUUAAGUCGGUUGAUUUGAUGGCGGGGUCGGGUGUUUGUUUAGUACGGUGGUCCCGAGAAGCGGAGGAAGCCUCCCUACAAGUAUACGAAGAUAUCGGUGAAAUGUGGUUGAGAUUAGUUCAAGGGUUGAAGAAAGUUUGUUUGGAUUCGAGGGAGGAGAUACGGAAUCAUGCGGUUUUGAUGUUACAAAGAUGUGUGACGGGUUUAGACGGGAUUUAUCUUGAAGAUGAGAUGUGGUUGCAGUGUUUUGAAUUGGUGAUUUUUGGUGUUGUUAAUGAUUUAUUGGAAAUUGUUGAGGAGAAAUCGGUGAAAGAAUAUAGAAACAUGGAGGGGACGCUUGUUUUAUCGUUGAAGCUUUUAUCGAAAGCUUUUUUGCAUUCGUUGCCGUGUAUUUCGAGGUUGGUUUCGUUUGAGAAAAUUUGGGUCGGGGUUUUGAAUGGGAUGAAGCGGUAUAUGGAGGUUAAGUUUAGAGGGAAACGGAGUGAGAAAAUUUACGAAUUAGUCCCUGAGCUUCUUAAGAACACUUUGCUUGUCAUGAAAGCGACCGGAAUCCUUUCGUUGCCGGAUUCCGAUUCCGGUGGGGGUGGUGAUUCCGGUGGGGUAUGGAAUCAGACCUGGGUACAUGUGAAAACGCUAGCACCGUUGUUGCAGUCGGAGGUGUUCCCGGAUGAGGAACCGGAACCACGAACCGUGGGUGCCACCACACCGGUUCCCGAGGCUAAUUUGUUGGUUCCAUGAAGUUUUGAGGGGCAAAAUUGGAAAUUGGGAAUGGGGAGUUUUAGUUGAGGUAAGGACUAAAGAGGUUUUCAUAUAUUUGUAUACUUUUAGUACAUUGUAUAAUUGUUGGUCGGAGGUGAACCAUGAACAAGUUUUUUUGUUUAUUAUUAUUUUGGUAUUUGGUUGACUUUGACAUUGACAUUCACAUUGACAUUUGUUGACCUUUUGAUGAGUCAAAGGGAUUUAUAGAGGCACAUAUAGAUUCUCCUCAAGCAUGUUUUUUUUGGUAGCCAAACUUAUCUAUCACUUAAACGUCAUUGUUGUUUACCAUAUAAAUCAGAUAUACAUACUAUGUUACGAAAUUUUUAUUGAGUUUAUAGAGUAAUGUACAUAUAAUCAUGAUUUUGUAAAUAAGCUAACAACCCCCAAGUGUGCUCGUAGGAAAAUUUACUUGAUAAAUAAGAGCAUUUAAAUAUAAUUUUAGGAGGUGAUAUCUAUUCAUUAAGAUUGGAAAGAAUAGUAUAAUUUUAGGAGGUGAUAUUUCCACUUGUAUUUUAUGUAUUCAUUAAGAUUGAAAGGAGUGGUGUUACUGAUACCAAAUGCCAAGCUCCACACCAGAUUUCACCUCAACCAUGGAGAGCUUUGCCACUCCCUUCUCUCUCCGGGUUAAAAAAAGAUGGUUUGAUUUUUGUAUCUUAGUUACAAUUCUUUUUGUCCAAUUGAAAGAUAUAAAAAUUAAAACAUCUUGUUUUUAAAUGUAAAUGUACGAGUAAAAAACAUAAGUUAAAAUAUCACCUCCAAUUAUUUGAGCUUUUAAAUCUAAUAUUUUUUGCUUUAAUUUUAAAGCUCACUAUUAGAUGUUUGUCAUUAUUUUAAUUAUAGUUUUUUCUUUUAUUCUAUUAGUUAUAAAUAAGUAAGGUUGUGGGAUCCUAAAGGAAACUUUGUGAAAUUUUCUUGUACCAUCACAUAGAUAACUCAAGGUUAGUGGUUUGUUAAGUUGAGAUUGUGAAAUGAAAAGUUUAUUGAAAAAGCUUUUUACCGGUGAGAUUAUAUUUGAUGUUUGUUUAAAAAACAUUUUUUAAAUAUUUUUUCCCCUCAUUUUACACCAUUUCUUUUUAAAAUCUUGUUCCAUCUAACACUUUAUAUUUGUAUUUAGAGGUGAGUAUUUGGACUUUUGGACCUAACCGGCCUCAACAGGUCCGGUCCAAGGUCCACCAAUUUCUACAAAACCGAUCUGAUCCGGUUGUGUCAAAUUACUCACCCAACAAUCGAAAUAAAUAAAUUAAUUUUUGAUAGAUUUCAAUGAGUUGUACCGAAUGCACAUAAAGUUUUAUCGAUACAACAGAUACAAAAACUGGAAAAUCCGGACUGGACCGGUCUCAACUGGUCCAGUCCAAAAUCCACUAAUUUCUGUCAAAUCAGUUUGGUCCAAGAGUGUUGUCCGGUUUAAUUCGGUCAAAAUACUUGUCCCUAUUUUUACUAGGUAAUUUCUUUGUGCUUUGAAAUUGGUUUUUUAUAUCAUAGUAAAAACAUCAAAUAUUCUUUUCAUGUGUUCGGCAUUUCAAAUAUCAAAUUGCAAUUUAAUAUUAUGAAUCAAUAAAAAUCCGUAGAUUUCUUUUUCUUGGAAAAUACAUAACUUAAUCAUCAGUUAUAAAGUUGAUGAAUAAUUUAUGUAAAAAACCUAGAAUAUGAAUAUUAUCAUAUUAUGUUAAAAGGAUCUUUCCAUGUAUAACUAUUUCUAUAUUUUUAUUUUAUUUCUUAUUAAAUAUAUCUAUCCAAAAAGCAUUUAUCCCAAAAGUUCUUAACCAAAAAAAAAAAAGAAAAACAAAAACAGGUUUAGCAUCGAACGGAUAAAAUUGGGCUUCCUUUGGGAUAAUGUCAACGUGCUGUUGCUUUAUCAUUUGCUUUCAUCCCAUUAACAAGCACUACAAAAAAACCAUCGAUAAACUUCCAAUUACAACUAUAUUGCCACAUCAGAUCCACCGCCGGAAACCGCCUAAUUUGCCGACCACCGAAUUUCUUCCGAUCAGAUCAGGUUCGUUAUCUUCAUCUCUAUGCGUUUAUUAUUUGGAUAAAUAAAUCUUACAGGAAAGCUAUCCGUAUACACCUGUUGACAGAUGAAUUGUGGUUUGAUUUAAUUUUGAUUUCGAUUCUAAUUUGUCUGCUCUUUUUAAUCGGUGCAAUCGGUAUGUGAUCGUUGUAGUUUUAUUUGAGGGGUUGUUUCCGGAGAGAUGAGUGAAACAUUUGAAGGUUGCGAACGCCAAUACUGCGAGCUUUCGGCGAGUUUGUCGAAGAAGUGUACAUCAGCUACUUUACUCGAUGGAGGUGAGCCAAAACCCUAAUUCGGUUCAAUAGCUUUCAAAACUAUGUGUAUAUGUUGUUAUUAAUCUGAUGUUGCCAUAGAUUAAAGAUAUUCUAAAGGAUUUAGAAACAAACAUGAUAGAACCUUGUUGAUUUACCUUACAUUGAUGUUGUCUAUGUCAUCUGAUUCCCAAAUUAGAAUUGUUCAGCAUCCUUUUGGUUCAAAUCAGGACAGGAGUCAGGAAAUUAAUUUAUGAUCUUAUACUCUAAGUUUUAGAAUGCUGUAGAUUGUGUCCUGAUGCCUUUUACCUAUCCUAUUUCUGUAUUAUCAAUGCUCCAUUGUACCCAAAAACAAAUCUAAAUUCCUUCUAUUGCUUCAUCUCCUACAAGUCAGCUAUAAUCUGACUUUUGUUGGCAUGGUUUUGAUGCCUUUAUUAUCCCUCAAUUUUAUCACAUGAAUUUCUGCUGAAACUUUGGUGUUUGUUCUUCCAGAAAGAACAAUGGCUAAUAUGUUGAAAUUGGAGGAGGUGUUUGGUGUUUGAUGUUAGGAUUUAGCAUUUGAGACACGUGGAUUUGAGAAAUAUUGAUUUACUUUAGACAGUUGGGUGAAAUAGUCAUUUAUUUUCAUUCAUGAGUUUAUUCAGUUAAAAAUAAAAAGAAACUUUUUUUUGUUCAUACAUACAGACAUCACUUAAUUAGGAAAAAAGAAAGAAAGAAAGAAACAGAUCCUUAAAUUGUGUGUCUGUUAUCACUUUAUUCAACUUUAAUAAACCUUUUUAAUGUUGAAAAAAUAAAAGUUUGCGAGCUUCAUCGGGCAUGAAAAUGUUUAUAUGGUUAAAAAAAAAAAACUAAAAUAAGAUUCUGUUAAAAUCCCACCUUAGAUUUCACCAACUAAAACAUUAUGCUUGGGUUUUUUCUUCGUAAUAUAUACAUAUUUUUAAUUUCUUGAGGCCUCGUUUAUUUUUAACUUCUAAAAUAGACUCUCCAUGUCUCAGCCGUACAAAAGACGUAAAUACCCUCAUUGUAAAUAACCCUCGAAAGCUUCUCUAGUCCCAUGUAACAAACACAACCUAAAUCUUUUUCCGUUCUACAUUAUCAAUUUAUGUUUCUUAUUUAUUCGUUUCAGAGCAAAAGAAGCAGAAAAUUUCUGAAAUAAAAGCCGGAAUCGAUGAAGCCGAGUCUCUGGUAUCGUGUCAAUCCUUGAUUCCAUUCCAUUAUUUAUCUCAUAACACAUUUUUCUUUUUAAUAAUAAUAAAAUAUAAAUUCAGAUACGAAAAAUGGACACAGAGGCAAGAAGCCUACCACCAAAUGUAAAAGCUGUUCUUUUGGCGAAAUUAAGAGAAUACAAAUCGGAUUUGAAUAAUUUGAAAAGUGAAAUUAAACGAAUUGCAUCAUCCAAUUUAAAUCAAGCUGCCCGAGAUGAAUUAUUGGAAUCAGGAAUGGCAGAUGCAACUGCGGUAUGUAUGACUUAUAUCCAUCAUUUUAUUAUGACAAAACUGCACAAAUGGUCCCUGUGGUUUGCUCAAAAUUGCCACUUUGGUCCAAAAAGGCUUGGACUAGCACUAGAGGUCCAAAGUUUUCAUUUUGUUGCUUGUUUGGUCCAAUCUGUUUUGAUUUUUUUCAAAAUGACGAAUUUGCCCCUGUUAAUAUGAUUUUCUUUUUUUCUUAUUUGUUUUUCUGAUUUUAUAUUUAAAAAAAUAAAAAAUAAAAAUAAAUCACUCUCUCUCUCUCUCUCUCUCUCUCUCUCUCUCUCUUAUUUGUUUUUAUUUUUCUGAUUUUAGAUUUAAAAAAAUAAAAAAAAAAAAAAUAAAUUACAUUUUUGGUCCCAAGAAGUUUUCUCUUGCAAUUUUGGUCCUUAUUUGGGGUUCUUGUAAUGUAACUGGUCUGUGUUUUAAGUAAAUGACUAUUUUUGGUCCCUUAGUAUAGUUGAUUUUUGCAAUUUUGGUCCAUCAUUGAGAUUCUUGUAAUGUUUUUGGUCUUUGUUCCAAAUAAAUGACCAUUUUUGGUCCCCAAGUAUAGCCAGAUUUUAUAAUUUUCGUCCCAAAAUGUUUUUCUUGCAAUUUCAGUCCUUAUUUGAGGUUCUUGUAAUGUUUUUGGUCUGUGUUUCAAGUAAACUGACUAUUUUAGUAUUUUUGGUCCCUACAUGUAGCUGAUUUUUGCAAUUUUGGUCCUUAUUUGAUGUUCUUGAAAUGUUUUUGGUCCUUGUUCUAAGUAAAUGACCAUUUUUGGUCCCCAAGUAUAGCCAGAUUCUACAAUUUUGGCCCCAAAAAGUUUUCUCUUGCAAUUUUGGUCCUUAUUUGAGGUUCUUGUAGUGUUUUGGUCUUUGUUUCAAGUAAAUGAUCAUUUUCAGUCCCUGAGUAUAGCCAGGUUUUUCAAUUCUAGUCCCAAAAAGUUUUCUCUUGCAAUUUUAGUCCUUAUUUGAGGUUGCUGUAACGUUUUUGGAAGUAAAACGAUUAUUUUUGGUCCCCAAGUAUAGUUGAUUUUUUCAGUUUUGGUCCCAGAAAGUUUUCUCUUGCAAUUUUGGUUCUUGUAACUUAAAAUGACUAUUUUUUGGUCCCUGAGUAUAGCUGACUUUUACAAUUUUAGUCCCAAAAGUAGUCUUUUUACUUGAAACAGUGACAAAACACGUUACAAAAAUCUCAAAUAAGGCAGGAGAAAAUGUUUUUGGACCAAAAUUGAAAAACAAAAGGUAUACUCAAGGACCAAAAGUGUAAUUUAAAAUUAGUGGUGUGAAUGUGACAGGUGUCAGCAGACCAAAGAGGAAGGUUAUUAACGUCAACAGAAAGAUUGAAUAAGUCAAGUGACAGAGUUAGGGACAGUAGAAGGACUAUGCUUGAAACUGAAGAACUCGGUGUUUCACUUCUACAAGAUCUUCAUCAACAGCGAGAGUCUCUUUUACGUGCCCAUGGAACCGUAAUUUAAAUGACAUAAAUGCCCCUUGUACUUUCCACCUUAUUGUUCAUUUACCCACUUGAUUACUUAAUACUGGUUUUUGUAUGUUUUCAGCUUCAUGGAGUUGAUGAGAACAUAAGCAAGAGUAAAAAAAUAAUGACAAAUAUUUCAAGAAGAAUGGGGAAAAACAAGUGGAUAAUUGGCUCUGUGGUUGCUAUUCUUAUCAUUGCCAUCAUCUUGAUUUUGUACUUCAAGUUGAAGAAGUAGAAUCCCAAAAUUCAAGCCUUUUGUGUUUUGUUGGUUUUGCAAGUGUGUCAUUUAUUGUGGGCUUCUUCUUCUUCUUUUUUUUUUUUUUUUGAAAAAAUGUUUGAUUUAUUUUGAGCAAAAACACAUAUUUCCAAGUGUUGAUCUUUGUUGUGGUUUUUGGGAUCUUACAUAUGCAUGAAAAUAAACUUUUUGUGGCUUGUUUAUGAUGCAUCCUAUUGUCAACAAACUUAGCAAUCUUUAGGUAAGUAUGUUGCACUGUGUUUGGCAUCGUGUUAUUUUUUUAGAACCAAAAAAAAUGUCAAUCAUGACUUUUGUGAAGCAAGCAAUGAAUAUAAAACAAUACAAGAGGAGUUUCAUUUUCAUCGAGUUUAAGUUUUUUUUUAUUUUUGCAUUAUGUAAUUUAUUAAUGAUAUAUAUAUAUAUAUANNNNAAAUAUAUUUGGACCGGUUCUAAUGGAAUACGUUCGUACUCAAUAUAAAUCAAGUAUACAAUUUACCAAAGGAUUUAUGUCGUCUACACUCUACACCAAUAGGAUAAGUGUACUAUAUCCACACGAAAUUUACUGAUUUCAUAAUGGGAUAUAUGUAGAAAAACACAUUAUAUAUACAUAUAUUAUAUAUACAUAUGUAUAUGUAGAAAUUUAUUUAUAUUAUUUUUUAUGUUCAGAAAAACCUUUAUAUUAUUACAUAUUGUUUCAAAUAAAACAAAAUUGCAAAUUUUUAAAAGAAAUGACAUGAUAAAAAUGUGAUACUCCCUUUCGUCCCAAAACUAUAGUCCAUCUUUCAUUUUUUGUUUGUCCCAAAAUAAUAGUCUAUUUAUAAAAAUAAAUAACAUUUUUACUAGAACACUCCAUCAUUAUUAUUUAACCAACUAAAUAUUUAAUAGAACAUUAAAUGCAAAGUAAAUACAAAACUGUCAUUUUAUUAUAUAAAGUUAGUGGUAAUUAAUGGUUUCUUAAUUUGAAUGUUUUUUUUGUCUGUGGACAAUAAUUUUAGGACGAGGGAAAUAUGACAUGCAUACCUCUGAAAUUUCUUUGAUUGUAAAACAUGUCAAAACCUAUAUUUAUUUCAAUUACUUUUGUUCGACUGUCUUCUCCGUAUGGAAUUAUACGACUGAUUUUUCAUUCCUUAACUAAUCAUUUUUAUCAUAAUUAACAUGAUGUCGUAUUAAAAAAACAAAAAUGUAAGCAACAUCAUAUUUGUAGUCGUCAAUUUCUCUUAAAAACCCGUAUUUUGGUCUUUUUCGAAGGAUAACUAUUAAUAUAAGGGUUUUUUCUAAACCUAAAAAUAAUAUAAGGGUUUUUCUGUACAUACGUGUAUAAUUCGUUGUGUUUUCUGCAUAUAUCCCUUAUAAUGUUUAUAAUUACAUUGAGAUUCUAUAUAUAAUAUUAUGUAUUUGACUUAGACUACAAAUCAGCCGGACCUACUUUUCUUUUUCUUCUUAGGUCGAUUUCGAUUGAUUAAUAUAAGAUACACAAGCAAUCCGAUUGCACAAUACAACAAAGAGAUGUAUUGAUAAUUUGGUAUGUAGAAGCCUUGUCUAUAUGUCUUUAACUGUAAGAUGCAUAACGAACGUUAAAGAUGCAAUAUUUGUUGACUAUUGUCAAUGAGAUAAAUAUGCAUUAUGCAUAAAAAGGUUGUCAUUUAGUCAAAAAUGUUGUCAUGUGUUGCACAUUAGCUCUAAGUCAAAUAUGGACCAUGUACUAUAUUAAUGUACCUUAAGGCAAUGUUUGACACAUGGACAAUAUGAGACAAAAUUGAACCGAACAUAGUUAAACUAGAUUGAACAAGAUUAUAUAAUUAUUUUUAUAGCGUUUGUGAUUACAACAGAACACUACAAUAUAGUAAAAUUAUUAGAUUGUACUUUUUUCAGUUUUAAAGGUGCCUAAAGUCGUGAUUAAUUUUUUUUGGAGAGUUUAAGAAUUCGUUUCUUUUGGGGUGCGAAUGAUAAAGAGAGAAAGAUAACUUGGGUCAAGUGAGACAAGGUUCUUAAUUCUAAGGAGAAGGGUAGAGUUGGAAUUGGAAGUAUGAUGGCUUUUAAUAUUGCUUUGUUGCUUAAGUGGAGAUGGAGAUUUCAUAUUGAUUCGAACUCUGUUUGGGCUAAUAUCAUUUGAAACAUCCAUGGGUUUAAUGGGGGGUUUUGGACAUCUAGGUCAAAUACCGAAAAGGGUCGAGUUUGUGGAUUUCGUUGAUCAAACUUUUUCAUGCAAUUCAUGAAAAAAAAUAUUGUCUAGCAUUUUUAUUUGAGAAAAUGUAUUGGUAAUGGUUAAGAAACUCAUUUUUGGGAUGAACAUUGGCCGAUGGACGGUUUACUUAGGGAUAGA
Molecule: long non-coding RNA, 80267 nt
Filed under: Lactuca sativa (garden lettuce)
Lineage: Eukaryota; Viridiplantae; Streptophyta; Magnoliopsida; Asterales; Asteraceae
Description: long non-coding RNA (LSAT_LNC002692)
Source: RNAcentral